RNAcentral lists this long non-coding RNA (56813 nucleotides) under Vitis vinifera (wine grape). The record is from RNAcentral. Lineage: Eukaryota; Viridiplantae; Streptophyta; Magnoliopsida; Vitales; Vitaceae.
AGCUCAGGCUGCAGUUCUGUUUGUUCCCUUUUUUAUUUUUUUCAUAGGACUACUGUUGAGGUUUUGUCAUGGAGAUACAUAGAUACACCCCCAACGACAAUAGAUGGUAGACAUGAGUUUUUUUACUCAACUGAAAUCUUUGGGCAACCUUCCUUUUCAGACCAAAGGAAAAAGAAACCCAAAAUGGUGACCAAUUUUUCCCCUUUUUCCUUUUUAUUCUUAAGCUAUGGGAUUGUAUUUUGUGAGAUUUUAUCAAUAAGAAUUUUAAUUAAAUAAAAAUCUUCUUUUCUUACUGUGUUCGAGGAAAAACAUUAGUCUCCUUUUUUUCUGAACCCCAAUAAAUCACAUUGAGAGAUGUGGAACCCAUGAUUAGAGGUGUCUAAUGGCCCAGCACGGCCCGAUAUUGACCGGGCCAUUAUGGGCCAAUGUGCCGGGCCAGCACGGCCUACUUAAAAAUCGUGCUAUGAAAUUUAAGGGCUGUGGGACGACAUGGUGGAGAAGGGGUGUGUUCCUAAUGCUUUUACUUAUAACAUGUUGAUUAAGGGCUUUUGUAAUGUCGGUAAUGCAAGGGAGGGAAUUAGAGUCAUGGAGGAGAUGUUGGAUAAUGGGUGUUUGCCGAAUAAGGCAACAUAUGCUAUUUAGUUUUCAGAUUACUAAUAUUGAAAAUUGCCCAAAUAGGAUCAGUUGUGAAGUUCUUUUUCUUUGUUGUCAUGGAGAAACCAGGCAAGCAGAAGCACUUGGUGGAUCAGUUGAAGAUGUCGGUAAAAGCAAAGAUGAUAAUGGUGGAUGAACUCUUGGAUGAAUUCGGAAGGAUUCGAGGAGUUGGGGGAGUAGUAAUAGAGUUGUUUGGGGUUUGUUCGUAACAAGAAUGGAAGAAGAAGAUACCAGUUUGAGAUUCGCCAAAUGGGUGAUAACUACUAAUGACUUCUAAGGAGCUGAAAGCUCUUUUUAAAUCUUAAUAAAAACUUCUAUGUUUAUGUUCAAAAUAGCUUAAUAUAGAAGCCAAAAAAAUAUUAGUUCUUUGUAAAAACUCAAUUUUGACUUCUACAAAAAUUUGUUUUAUAUUUAAUAAAAUUUUUAAAAAAAUUAUGAUUUUGGCUUAAACUUGGACUUAUUAUUCAAGCUUCAUCUUCACUGAAAACUUCAUCCUCAGAUUUUGAAUGUGAUCCAUGAUCUAUCCUCCACAAUGAACUCAUAACUCAUGAAUGUGGCCUCCUUAAUAUAUCCAACCACCUUUCCCCACAAUUGGGUGGGUGAUUUAAAUCCGAUGUUCUUAAAACUAUUUUUAGUUUAUUUGAAUAAAAUUUUGUUUAAAAAAUCAAUAGAUAAAUUAAAAUUUUGAUUUAUUAUUAAAUCUACAAUAUUUUUGUCUUAUAUAUAUAUAUAUAUAAUUGUUUUUUAAAGUAAUUAUAAAAUAUAUCCUAAAAAAAAAGCUUUGAGAGCGUUUGAAAGAGAUUUUGAGAGGUUGACAUUUACAAAAAUGGGAUGUUUAGUAAAUUUUUAAAAAUUAUUUUUAAAAUUUUGGAGAAAUUUUGGAUAAAUGAUUCUUUUUUUAAAAAAAAAAAAAACCCUUUUGUAAAUUAAAGAUAUAUCUUUUUAAAAUAUGUAAAUAAUUUUUUGAAAUUUUGUUAUUUUUAUUUAUAUUCGGAUAACAAGUGAUGAUUCAAGCUCAAAAUCCUCCUCAAAUUGCCUUUAAUAAAAAUGCUUUUAGCAUAAAUUCUGCCAAAACCAUGGCUAUCAAAAGGUUGAAAUAGGUGUAGUGAACGUUUUGUUUUCCUUAUCCCAUUUUUACUGUAUUUUCUAGGCAGCCAAACGAAGGAUAUGGAUGAAAUUGAUAUGUUUGGAAGGUAAAUAUUAAAAGGAAAUGGAGAAAUCCAACAUGCCACGUGUCGCACUUUUUGAACACAAGCAACGAAUAAACAAUCCAAGCCGUUAAUUUCUAAAUCAACGGCCCAAAUCCACUCGAUGACACCAUUAACCACUUUCCCCACAUUUUCAUUGCUCCACACACCUCUCACCGGCAAUUGCCCGUAGCACCAACCCCUCUCUCCCCCACACAACCCAAAUCUCCGCCCAACUCUCCAACCGCCUCAGCCAGUCACCGGUGUGCACCCCCUUACCACUCACUCCCUCUGUCUCUAUAUAUAUAUACAGUGACAGCUUCUUCUCGUUCUAGGGUUCGCCCACUGUAUCGAUACGCACUUUCUCUCUCUGGAUUUUUAUUUUAUUUUUAUUUUUUCCCUCUGAGAGUCCAAGCAAUUUUCUCGCUAGCCAAACGGUGGAUUCCGAGAUUGCGAGGUGUUUUAUUGGUUGAUCUGUCUGUUUUCCUAUAAAUUUUUUAGGUUUCAAGGUGGUUUGGUUGGAUCGGAGUGAGAUUUGAUUGGUGCAAACCAUGUUUUUACUCGAUUGGUUCUAUGGAGUUCUAGCAUCGCUUGGUUUAUGGCAGAAGGAGGCCAAGAUCUUGUUUCUAGGGCUGGAUAAUGCCGGAAAGACGACUUUGCUUCAUAUGUUGAAAGAUGAGGUUCGUUGCAAUGCAUUUUGUUGAUUUCAUUAUGUUUUCUAGUUGGCUUCUCUGUUUGGUUUCUGGGAGAAGAUAGGAAAAGGAAAGGUAUUACUGUUUAGAGCUUAGAUUUUGGUAGCGUGCUUUGUUGAUAAAUCUGGUUUUCUUGUUUUCAAUGCUCCGUUUGUUUGCUGGUAAAAGAAAGGAAAAAAGGAAGAAAAAAAAAAUCCACUACACAUAGCCUAUUACGAUUAGCUGGCUUAGUUGAGGUGACUUUUUUCCAAUCUUUGGAAACCAACCAAUGUCAAAAGUAUUUUUUAAAGAACGAUUCGAAUUCCUUUUUCUUUUCGCCAUUUCGAGGAGUGGAUGAUUUUUUGUUUUAUGUUUGUUUGGUUAAUUGGUGUUGGCAUUGGAGUUUUGCAGAGAUUAGUUCAGCACCAGCCGACCCAGUACCCAACAUCAGAAGAGUUGAGUAUUGGGAAAAUCAAGUUUAAGGCAUUCGAUUUGGGAGGGCAUCAGAUUGCUCGCAGAGUUUGGAAGGAUUACUAUGCAAAGGUAGAUCUCUCUUUCCAUAUCUAUAUUAGAAUGAAGUCAUUAUAUGAUUCUUAUUUGUUCAGUAGCAAGCUUUGUUUUACAGUUUUGGAUGUAGGAAACCUAUGAUAAAUUACAAAGGUUUUCAGUGGUUGGAUGAUUGGCGUAGUAUUUGGUGUUGGUGGUGGCAGGACAAAACAAUUUGUAUCAUGUCCCUGUCUCUCAUCCCUAUUCUUGAAAUGGCCUUGCCGUUUGUGUUCUACCACUAGAAUGAAUUAGAUAUUCUUUUUCUUUUUUGUUGAGAAUCUUUCCUAAGUCGAUCCAAUUGUUGAUUGGCUUUUCUGCCGUCUGCAUAUCCUUAAAUUUCUGGAUAUUUGUAUGCCUUCAGUAUUCCCAGAUAAAGAUAAAUGAUCACUGUAUUUAUUUGUUUAAUGGAGGCAGACAUCAAAGAUGGGAUUUGGCUGACAGUGUCUUUUGUUGUCCAGGAGUUGCUAGAACACGUCCUCAUAUACAGCCAUAAUCUAUAUAGUUUUCUUUACAUACUUUUCCUUAACCUCAUGCCUUGACCUUCCUGGCAAAAUCCAACUGUUUAUGGGCGUUUAUUGCUGCCUACACAUCCUCAAAUUGCAAAAUAUGUUUUUGCCUUCAUAAUCGCAGAUAAAUUUUUUUUUGUGUUUAUUUGAUUCAUGGGAGGCAUACAUCAAUAAUGGGAGUUUGCUGAUGGCACCUUUGUAGUCAAGAGGGUGCUCUAAUAGUACCUCACUGUACAUUUUAAUCUAUCAAAUUGCAAAAUAUUUGUUUGCCUUCAUAAUCCCAGAUAAAUGUUUUAUGUGUUUAUUUGAUUCAUGGGAGGCAUACAUUAAUAAUGGGAGUUCCGCUGAUGGAACCUUCCGUAAUCAAGAGGGUUCUCUAAUAGUGCCUCACUGUACAUUUUAUUCUACACCCUUUUUCUUAAUCCCACUCUAUGCCAUUGCUUUUAAAAUUCAUAUGUUUAUGGGCUCUUUCUGCCAUCUACAUGUUCUUGAAUUGAGGAUUUGUUUGCCUUCAUAAUCCCAGAUAAACAGUUUACAUUUAUUUGAUUCAUGGGAGGCAGAAAUUGAUAAUGGUAGUUCGCUGUGGCACCUUUUGUUUCCCAGGAGGUGCUCUAAUAGUACCUCACCGUACAUUCUUAAUUUAUUUUAUUUUUUCCUGCCCAUUUCCUUAAUCUUAUGCCAUGUCAUCACCUUUAGAAUCCAUCUGUUUGAUUAAUGGGAAGCAGAGACAUCAAUAGUGAGAGUCUGAUGGCACCUUUGUUUUCCAGGAGGCACUCUAAUAAGUGCCUUUUGCCGCACAUUCUCAAUCUAUUUUGUUUUUACCCCACCAGUUCCCUCAAAUCUUAUGCUAUCCCAUUGCUGUUAUGAUCUAUCUGUUUACGGGCAUCUCUAUUGCUGUAUAUAGGUCCUUAAAUUACAGGAUACUUGUUUGCCUUCAUAAUCCCAGAUAAACUACUUAUGUGUUUAUUUGAUUCAUGGGAGGCAGAUAUCAAUUAUGGGAGUUCGCUGAUGGCGCCUUUUUUUCCUAGAAGGUGCUUUAAUAGUACCUCACCUUACAUUCUUUCCUUGCGAUUUAUACACGAGACCAUCUGGAUCAUCACAUUACCAUGCUAAUAACUUAGUCAAACCUAAUUGGUUGGCAACCCUUCUCAUGAAUGCUUAAUCCCUAGUCCACAGUUUCUUAGACUCUGUUUGAUUGCAACUGCAUUUUUUUAUAUUCUAUGGUAGGAUAAUUUGAUCAGGCCAGUGAAACAUGAGAUAAUGCAAGUGCCCAUUUGUUUUAAUCAUCAUGAAAUUUCUGUUCAUGAAGGUGGAUGCAGUUGUUUACCUGGUGGAUGCCUAUGACAAGGAGAGAUUUGCAGAGUCGAAAAAAGAGCUGGAUGCUCUCCUCUCCGACGAGGCCUUGGCCCAAUGUUCCAUUCCUUGUUCUGGGCAACAAGAUCGAUAUCCCAUACGCUGCCUCAGAAGAUGAGCUGCGUUACCACCUGGGUCUAACAAACUUCACCACAGGCAAGGGAAAGGUAAGCCUGGCUGACUCAAAUGUCCGGCCCCUUGAGGUAUUCAUGUGCAGCAUCGUCCGCAAAAUGGGUUAUGGAGAUGGCUUCAAGUGGCUCUCCCAGUACAUCAAGUAGAGCACAACAGGAUGUAAGAUUUGGCUCAUCUUAAACUUUAUUACUAAACCAAAGCUGGACAUGUGUCUGUUUGAAAUCACUAUUGCAAAUAUUUCACUUAUUUUACAUGUUUUUGUUAUUUUUUUUCUUGGUGGUGAAUGACAGACAUGCUCUCCAUGCCCACAGUGAAAUUUUCAGAUUUGUUGUCUGAUGUUAAUACAGAGUUGGAGAGGGAGUUGUUUGUUGUGGGUUGGUUGUUAUUAUUACAAAGUAUGAAUCAAUUGUUUACUAUCACUGCCUUCACAAAUUGUAACCAAUUUUGUGAUAGAAUGCUCCCCUGCUUAAAGGAAAACUGGAAGGGUCGAUACAUGAUCCGACUACUUCAUCAUAAAGGAAAGGCUGUUUCCACUAUACUUGCUUGUAUUCAAAUCAAUUCCCAUGUAUAAUUCCAUCUCUCUUCUGCAACUGCAGUUUUUGUUAGACUUGUUUCGAUAUUGUUUAGGGAAGAUAUAAAAAUUGAGAUUAAAAUACCAAAAAAGGGGAUGUAUAGAGAUUAUUUUUGUCGCAUGGGUUUGAAAGAUACAAGGAAAUGAAACUGAGAGGCAGAUAGAUGUGAUUUAAGUGCUAUUACUAUCAGUAAUAGCUGUUAAGAAAUGCUUAAAUGCCAGAACUGUCAGUAACAGCUUCUGUUGCUUCUACAAGCUUUCAAGCAGCCUUGGGGAGAUGGUCGGGCAAUUCCAUAUGUACCAUAUCAAUAUCACCAAUAUCUUCUUGCCAGUUGCCACAAUGAUCAGAUGCUACACGUGGAGGAGCUUGAUUUGUCGUCCAUGGUGCUCAUGCAUGAAGUUUGGACCCGGAAUGUGAAAUCAAUUAUAUUUUUAUUAUUAUUUUUUAUAAUAAGAAUCGAAAUAUUUGUUAAAUAGAAAUCAAGCCUCACAACUAAGGUUACAAUUAUUUUUUUAAAACAGAUUUUUAUUCUAGAAAAAAAUAAUAUUUUUAGAGAAUAUUUUUUAAUUAUUUUUACUUAUUUUUUAAAAAAUACUUUAGAUAAUAUUUAUAUAAAUAUUAAAAAUAAUGAAAAAUAAAAUACCACAGUUGAAGUUAUUAUUAAAUCAUAUUUAAAAAUAUAGAAAAUAAGUUAAUUAUGCUUUAAUAACCAUUUUUAAGAAACACUUGUCACAUAAAAUCUAAGAUUUUGAUUUCUCACCUUCUGAAUAUCUAUUAUUAUUCCUAUUCCCACCUUCAAAACACACAUCCCUAUAGUCAAAUGGAGAGAUAGAAAGGGACAGGAAUCAACUUUUUCUUUUGGACUAAGAACCCUUCUUUCUUUCUUUGGACUUAGGCAAACAUUCCCUCUUAACCCCUUUCUCUUUUGAAGCUCAACACCUCAUCAUCAACCCAACCUAUGCCAUCCAAAAGGCUAGCUACACUUUUCACUCUUUGGCUCUAUCCAUGAAUUAUCUAGUAAUAGGUCUUUCACAAUGAGAUCUAUCGGUAACGGUAUUUAAUUAUGAAGGUUAGUUAAGUAGUUAACCCUAUUAGUCCGUUCUUGCAAGAGUGGUGGGAGCCUAAUCUUUCUAUCGAUUUUCCCUACUUAAUGGAUAACCCUUUUGCCAAUGGAGAAUUGCUUAUUAUCUUAAUUGCAUGCAGUUAUUGAUAGAUAGAAGAAUCAUGGUAUGCACUUUUGUGUAUUAACUAAAGCCUUACGUGUGUCUGGAGGAGAUCAUAUUCAUGUUGGUACCGUAGUAGGUAAACUUGAAGGAGAAAAAGAGAUCACUUUGGGCUUUGUUGAUUUAUUACGUGAUGAUUUUGUUGAAAAAAACCGAAGUUGUGGUAUUUAUUUCACUCAAGAUUGGGUUUCUCUACCAGGUGUUCUACCAAUGGCUUUUGAGGGUAUUCACGUUUGGCAUAUACCUACUCUGACCAAGAUCUUUGGAGAUGAUUCCGUACUAUAGUUCGGUGGAGGAACUUUAGGACACCCUUGGGGGCAAAACCCAUUAGAAGAAAUGACAAAGUCUAGGCUUCACUUCUAACACAGUAGGAAGAGUUUCAAAGCAAACCACGGUUUGGUGGCCCCCUCAACCACUUCACACCAACUUCACUCUUCCUUAAAACUCCAUUUGUCCCCAACUAUUGUCUCCAAAAAGGGGUUCAAACACUUUGUAUAUAUAUAUAUAGACAUAUAAUCAGAUGAUAUCAACCCCUUACUCAUCAGUCAAUCUCUCAGAGCUUCUGCAAUGGCAAUCUCAAGCCUCCCAAUACAUCGAUUCUUCAUCAUCCCCCUCAUCUCCUUUGCUCUAUUUUGCUUCUACUCGGGUCAUCAUAAUGGCUUUGUAUCUAUGCUCAUGUUUGGAAACGUCUUCAAAGAUUGUUCUAAAAAAAAACGAUUUCAAAAACAGUUCUUGAAAACAGUUCUCAUUUUCUGCCAUCAACUCAAAUUUUGAAAAACAGUUUAUUGGUUUAUUCUUGAAUGCAAAAGGUUCAAAUAUUCUCCAUAUGUUCAAUUAAAAGCACUUGAAGUUUGUUCUCAAAAAGCAAUUUUAUGCCAAAAGUCUAUCAAGAACAUGUUUUUUAGAACAGUUAUCAAAGAGGGCUACUACAAUUUUAUCCCAUUAAUGUUUGGAUAUAUCUCCAUGAACAGGAUAUGCAGAGGACCCUGCCAGGAUGUUUGAGAAAGCCCUGUUGUGUUUCAACAAUAAGCUGGUGAGCGACACAUAAUGAGCUGAUUCAUUGUCCAAUUUCAGAAAAACCCUAAAAGAAAAACAUUCAUGAAUCAAAUCCCAUAGACAGAAUCUACUUAAAAGUAUGAGUCUUCUAUUUUCUUUGUUGGUUGUGGGAUUUAGAUUUACAGUGGCUGUGAUGAAGAAUAUAGGCUGAACGAGAGUGGAAAUAUCAAUGUUCCUCCACAAAUUACAGACCAAUUCUGCAAUGGACCAUGCCUUGCUGAGACCCAACUGCUGCUCAACUGCAUCAACAACAUAUUUUCCGGUUUCCUGUUUGAUAAUAAGGCCAGCGUCCAAGCCAUCAGUGAUACAAUCCGGGCCGGAUGCAGCUUCAGUAGACAAAGGGGUAGUUUAUAAUUAGCCUAACACCAUAAUAACUGCAACCAACUAUGCAUAUAUAUGAAGUCCUUCUGAAUUUGUGUCUUGCUUUUUGUUUAGGUAACUUCAAUGUAGCACAAUACACAAGCCCUGCUCCAAGGAUUACCAUUAGUAUGAGCUUUUAUAGUUGGAUUGUUUUUGGGUUUUGUUUGCUUUUGAUAUAAGGAGAUGGAACAUAGAAUUUGAUUUAACGCAUCAGUAUGGGAGACAUGCUUAAAGGUAAUGAAUUUAUAUGAGCCUCUAUGAUUGGAUUACUAUUGGGUUUUCUUUGUUAUUAAAGUAAGGAGAUGGAAGAGUAUAGGGGAAUUUUGUGCUGCAGAUUUGGCUUCUCUUAUUGUGAGUUUAGACGUGGGAGAGAGAGAGAGAGAGACCUUUAAUAUUUCAUAUUAAUAUACUAUUAAGCCCCAGAGCUAAACCAGAGCAGAAAGCAAAAAACAACCUAGGCUUCAACCAUUAUUCAAAUCUUGAAGGCACUCUUCACUUGAAUUAGCAACAGUCAGACCCAACAUUGACCUUCACAGAUUCUUCCUUCUUCACAGGAACAUUAACCUUCUCCUCAGUCUUAGGAGACUUCAUCAUGACAGUUUCACAAGUCCCCUUUGCAGGUUCAGCACCUUCUUUCUUGGUGACUUGAGGUUUCUCUCUCUGACCCAAUAAAAACAUCCCAUAUAGGAAUGCAAAAGAAAGAAGAACAAAACAAAGAAUGAUUUUCUAGUAUUUCUAACCCCAUACGAUGAGAUUUAAUGAGCUGAUGAAAGGAAUUCAGGGAAGAGGAACUGGGUCUUGGCUUUCCAAUGAGAAAACUAGAAAUAUCGGGCUCAGAAAAUGUUUGAAGUCAUAUAAUCUUGUGGUUUAACUGACUCCUUGGAAUUCCAGUUCUCAUUGGAAAUGAAGUUGAGUUUAAUAUCAAAUUCAAAUCACAUUUUUAUGGGCAAAAUGCAAAUACAGUAUAUUUAUUAAUCAAUUAUCGAAAAGUCACCAUCAAUCAAGUGAUGUUAGGUCCACAUUUUCUUAGUUUUUAUCAAUAUCCAAUCAUGUCACAUAUCUAUGAUGAUAAAGAUUUUGGAAAAGAAAAAAAAGUUGUAAAUUUAAAAGAAAAUUACAAAAUAUGUCAUUGAGGUUGAGUGUACCAAUUGGCAAUUUGAUGAAUUUUGUAAUUUUUAUGGUUUUUUUGUAUUUCCCUAAAGCCUCAAUGUGAAAACAUGACCCAUUGAUUUGGUCCACCUUACUCUAUACCGAUUGAAAUGGAGAUGAAUCCAAAUUCUCCUGAGAGAUUUGUCUUUAAUAAGAUAAUUUGAAUGGAGUGAGGAAAAACAUCUGCAUAAUUUUAUAUUUAUUUAUUUAUUUAUUUUUGGCUUUUUGUUUUCUUUUUGUAUGAGAGAGAGAGAGAGAGAGAGAGAGAGAGAGUUAACAGAGCUUAAAACCCUUGAUAUUUCAUAUUCAUAACUAUUAAGUACCAGAGCUAAAACAGAGCAGAAAGCAAAAAACAACCUAGACUUCAACCAUUAUUCAAAUCUUCAAGGCACUCUUCACUUGAAUCCGCAACAGCCAGACCCAACAUUAACCUUCACAGAUUCUUCCUUCUUCACAGGAACACUAAGCUUCUCCUCAAUCUUAGGAGACUUCAUCAGACCAGUUCCACAAGUCCCCUUUGCAGGUUCAGCAUCUUCUUUCUUUGGGACUUGAGGUUUCUCAUCUUCCUUUUUUUGGGUCACCACAGUGGUCUGGCAGCCAUAGUUCAUUGAAGAACAGCAAGGUUUCCUCUCCAUCUUCUCUUGUUAAUAGCUGAAACCUUUAUAGAUAUUAUGGGUUGGAUAUGAGAUGGAAGUAAGAUAUCAAGUAUUUAUAAAAGCGUGAAAGCCUAAUUGUAUUCUGGUUAAGGUAGAGAAUAAUUACAAUGUGAAUAAAUGUCUUUCCAUGAUCCCAAUUCACCAAGAAAUGAAUGCAAAUUCCACCUUGAAACUUCAACUACCCCAUCUGCUCUCUCUCUCUCUGCGACCCAACAAAAACUUCCCAUAUAGGAAUACAAAACAAAAAACAGAAUGAUUUCUAGUAUUUCUAAACCCCAUCUGAUGAAAUUUAAUGAGAUGAUGAAUGGACUUCACGGAAGUUGAACUGGGUCUUGGCUUUCCAAUGAAGAAAACUAGAAAUCUUGUGCUCAGAAAUGUAUGAAUCAAAUUCGGAAUACGACAAGACAACAGAUUUUUCUGGGGACAAUGAGAAAGAACAGAAACACCUUGUACUACUGCAACUCGAUCAAAAUUACAGGUUCUUCUUUGCAUUACUCUUUCAAUACCAGAGCUCAACGUUUCACCAAGAACAAGUACUUAAAUUAGUCUUGUCCACUUAGCCAACCAUUCUCUGUCCAUGGUUUUUCCCCAUAUUUUUUCCACUGAAUGCUCCAAUUUACGUACUCAAUUGUUUGUAUGCUCUGCCAAACAAAACAAAAAAAAAAAAAAUUGAAUGAUUUUCAUUUCCUCGUUGUUAGUGAAGAAACAUGAAGUGUUGCACAUUAUAACUGGCCAAUAUGAAGUCUAAAUUAAAUAGGUUACUUACAAACAAGACUUUCCCUCUCGUCUGAAAACCAAGCCCUGCUCCAAGGAUCUCCAUUUGUAUGAGCUUGUAUGGUUGGAUUGUUUUCGGGUUUUGUUUGUUAUUGAUAUGAGAAGAUGGAACACAUACUACACCAGCAUAGAAGAAAAGCUCAGGGUUCUGCAUUUUUAUGAGCUUCUAUGUUUGGAUUACUGUGGGGUUUUCAGGGCUCUAUCCUAACACCAUGCUCUGUCCGGGAUUUUUCCUGAUAUUUUUUUCUUUCAUCAAUGCUCUUACCUUCUCAACUUCAUCCCAUUUCCCGUCUUCUGCAUAUACAUUUGACAACAACACAUAAUUUCCCGAAUUCCAUGGUUCAAGCUCAAUAAGCUCCUUGACUGCACAUUCUGCAUGCUUUACGUCGCCAAUAGUACGAUAAGCACUGAGCAAUGAACCCCAUAAGACAGCAUUUGGCCUCAUCGGCAUGGUUCUAACCAAAUCACGAGCCUCCUCCAUGCAUCCAUUACGUGCUAGAAGAUCAACCAUGCAUCCAAAAUGCUCAAGUUUUGGCUCCAUUUUAUGAUCUACUGUCAUUGAAGUAAACAAAUUCCGACCUCUUUCAACCAAACCAGCAUGAGCACAACAUGAUAAAACCCCAACAAAUGUAGCAUCAUUAGGUCUCACACCUUUGUUUAUCAUCUCCUCGAACAAGUCUGCUCCAAGCUCACCCUUUCCAUUGAAGGUCAGACCCGAUAUCAUGGCAUUCCAAGAAACCACAUUUUUCUGGGGCAUUUCAUUGAAAACCCUCCAAGCAGUUUCCAAAAUUCCACAUUUGCAGUAAAAGUCGACUAACGAAUUUCCCACAGAGAUGAAAUCUCGCAAAAGUCGGCUUGAUUCAGCAUAAGAAUGGAUCCAUUCCCCGACAUCGACAGCCCCCAAACGAGCACAAACAGGCAGAAUUGUGACCACGGUUGCAUCAUCCGGCUCAAAACCAUGAUCCCACAUUUCACGGAAAAGCUCCAAGGCUUCACCAUCACGGCCACUUUGUUCUAAACCAGCGAUCAUGGAGUUCCAAGAAACUACACUCCGGUCCCUCAUCUGCCUAAAGAGACGAAACCCCAUCUCGAUAUCACCCACUUUACAAAACCCACGAAUCAUCAUAUUCCAAACAAUCACAUCUCUAUCAAGCAUUUCAUCAAACACCUUCUUCGCAUCCUCCAUUCUCCCGCAACUCGUGUACAAAUCUAUGAUCCCAAUCCUUAUCGAACUGAAACGUUCAAACCCAACAACAAUCACCACCCCAUGAACUCCUUUCCCAAUUCUGUUAUCACAAAUACCCGAACACGACUUCAGCAAAGGAGCGAAGGUGAAUUCAUCGGGCCAUAUUCCGCGGUUUUUCAUUUGGGAAAAUAAAAGGAGUGAGUUUUCAGACGGCCCACAAAGGGAAUAGCCUUUGAUCAUGGAAUUGAAGAGGAGGAGGUUGGGGUUCUGGGUUUGGUGAAAGACGAGAUUGGCAUAUCCCAUCUUGUCCAAGGCGCCACACACAGAGAUGAAGUGGGAGAGGAUUUGGUUGGAUUGGUGGAGGUGGUGGCGGAGGAUGUGGGCGUGGAUUUGGGGAAGUUGGGUUCGGGUUUUCCGGCCGUGGAGGUGGCGGAGGAUUCGCCGCUCCGCCUCCCUGCACACUCUGCUCAUCUUCUUGCUGUUUGCAGAUGACAAUCUGAUAACGGCUUAGUUACCGAAUUUUGAAAAUAGUGGGUUGGCGGGAAAACCAUGAUUUUACCCUAAUUUAUAAAUUAAUAAUAUAAACAAAAAUAAUUAUGAAAUUUUUAAAAGGAAUAAAAAUUUGCAUCCCACAUCUAGUUUGAGGAAAAAUAUAACGUCCUGUUUGGUAGUCAAUCCAAAAUUAAUUUUUGAAAACCGUUUAUUAAUCCAAAAAAGGAAAUUAUAUUUACUAAAUUUUAAAGAUUCGAAAAACUUGUUUGAUAUAUUUUCAUAUGAAUAGUUUUUAAAAAUUAUGUUCGAAUAGGAAAAUAAUGAAAACAUGCUUGAAAACAUUGGUUAUUUACUGUUAAUUUGUUAUCACCAUGACCAUUGAAGAUCUCGUCACCAAGAAGAUCACAAAGUGAAGAGGAUGUGGGUGAGGGUCGAUGGACCAAACAAUGAAGCCUUUUUAAAAAUGGAUACAAUCUAAAAAUCUGUAUAUAAAAGUGUUUUUGGUAAUAUAUUUCCUCCAGAGUGUUUUUAAUGGAAUUAUUUUCUACAAAAGUGUUUUUGGAAAAAUCUUCAUUAAAUAUUAUAAUUCAUUUUUCAAUAUUAUAAAUGAUUUAUCAAAUUUUUAAAAAUAUUUUUUAAAUUUUAUCAUAUCGUAUUUGACAAUAAUUUUAACAAAUGUUUUUAACUUUUAUAAUAUUUAAAAUUUUUUAUCAUUCAAAUAUUUAAAAUACUAAAAACAUUUUUUAAAAUUAUUAUCAAACACAAUCUUAAAAUACGUUUGAUACUGAUUCUAAAAAAUAUUUUUGACUUUUCUUAAAAUGCACUUAAUAGUGAUUCUAUGAAAUGUUUUUUGUCUUUCUAAUAUUUAUAAAGUCUUAUUUUUUAAGUAUUAGAAAUACUAAAAACACUUUUAAAAAUCACUAUUAAAUGCUCUCUUAAUUUUUUUUGCCAAAAACACUUUUCUUGCUAUAAGCAUGAACCUUGGCGUUUUCCAAAAUGUUUUGACCUUUCCCUACCAAUGAAAAACAUUUUCUAAAAUCACUACCAAACACACUACACUCUACAUUUAGUGUAGUUAAAAACACUGACUACAAUCCGGAAUGCCUUCCAAAUACAGCCAAAGUCUCUUCUUCAAAACCUGAAUAAACCAAAUCCCACUUUCAGUUGCAAGAAGUUCUUUCAAACAAUAUUUAAUACUGACUAGAAGAAAAUCUAUAUAUUUAAUACAUUCUAUUGUCUUUUUUUUUCCACAUCCAAUUACUACAUGUCAUGGAUACUAAAGAAUUUGAAAUAAAAAAUAAAAAUACGCAACUUUGAACAUGAAGCGAAAUUUCAAGAAAUGGCGGAGGCAUUGAUAGAAACUAUUUCACUCUAUCAAUACCCGAGCCCGAGUCGGCUCUGAUGAAUCUAUCACAAGGGAAUUUGUUUUUUUCUAUUCAUUUCUACAGAUUUGAUCGAUGUAAAACCAAACAUUUCCAUUUCUUAUUGUUAGACUGUUAGUGAAGAAACAUGAAGAGUUACACAUUCUAAGAGGCCAAUAUGAAGUCUAAAUUAAAGAUGUUCCUUACAAACAAGACUUUUACCCUCGUCCAAAAACCAAGGCCCUGAAGAAGAUUUACUUGGGUAAAUCCAGGCUGGCUCCUCAUUUACCGCCAAAGCAAGAUCACUUCUUGGAUGAUCGGAACCCCCCAAAUCCCAUCAUGGCUGCAACAUCAGGGUCUAGCUCGGGUUCCUCUUCUACUGCCUUCUCUUUCUGACCCCAAAAUAACAUGAAAAAUCAAACAUAAUGAAAGAGUAAGAACAAGAAAAAAUCGACAUAAAAAUGAACAGAGAUUUUUGCAUAAGGAUAUAGGGUCUGUUUAGAAAAUGUUCCUAAAAAUACUUUCCUAACUUAGAAACCAUGAUUGACAAACUUCAAGAAUUUGUUCUAAAGGCAGAUUUUUUUUAUAACAGAUUUAAGGUGCUUUUAGGAACUGUAAGAAGUUGUCAUAUAGGCCCAUAAUAUUCUCCUAAUAGGCAUGUGGCCUUUUUCUCAUGCUAUCUAUUUAGCUGUGUUAGUAUUGCAUCAUAAUAGUAAGUGGAAUUAGCAAUUCCAUCAUACUGACCUUUUUCUCUUUCUUUCUCUCUCGACGCUGACGUUUCCGUUCCUCCUCUUCUUGCUGCUGUUUUAAGAUCCGCUCAUCAAGAUCUAGGAAAAUAUAGUCGAGAGAUUAGUUUUCUGUCCACUUUUCUUCCUUUUUUAAUCUUCAUAGGUAUGGUGAGAUCAAACAGUAGAGUGAAACUGUAUGAAAAGGCCUCAUCUAAUGGGGCAAAGCAAUAUUCCUUGGAUAACGAAGUUGAGGCUCAUGACUAGUCAAGUAAAUGCUGCCCUUGGUGCUACUCACAACUAAUUAAAACAAUCAAAACUUCAGCUAAGGUAAGGCUCAAAUUUCAUCUACAUGGGGGUGAUUAGAUUAGAUCUCUUACCUUGCUCGGUAAAGCUACCAGGUGUUCGCCGCUUCUUGAGAACUUCAAAUCGCUCCUGGACCUGUGGCCCAUCAAAAGAUUUUAUACAUAUAUACUUGAUCAACAUCAGUUUUCUUCACAGAGCUUCUGAUAUUCAUUGUGCAUAUUCUUGUGGUUAUCCACUUUAAAGAGUAAUUUUUCUGGGAAGGAAGUUCAUGCUAGAAUUACAAGACGAUGUAGACACAGGCUCAAGCAUGGUAUAUGUGGUAUAUGUCAUUCUCUUAACACAUAUGCCCAACAAAUAAUUCCCAUCUUGAAACCAAAUGCCUUUUUCCCUUGCUCAUACACUCUUGUUUCUUAUCAAAAAAUCAAAUAAAUAAAUAAAUAAAAAGAAAAAAGAAAAAAGAAAAAAGAAGAAAGAAAAACUAAUUGGUAGUUUGUGUGGUUAAGGUUGAACACCAAAUUCGCAGCCUCUAUAGUUUGGGGAUUUCUAGAUUGUUCAAACUUCUGUGAUUAUGCCCUUUGGAGGUUCUUUUUUAGCCUCUAUGUAUUAUAGAAUUUCUUUCUCUAUACACCAUGUGCAGCUUUGCCUUAAUAAUAUUAAUAUAUUCAGAAAGCAGUAAGUUUGUGGCAUUAUUUAUUUGGUUAGUUAUAUCUUUUAACAUCCAUAUCUCUAUAACCAAUUUUGAAAAUUUUCAAAAGCUCACCUGUUGAAGAGAAGCCCGUUCUACUCGCAUAGACAUUCCCAAAGCUCUUUGAUCUAAAAGAAAGAGUCAAGAGAGUCAUAACAGGAGUGGUAAGCAAUUAUGAUAACAUAUAAAUAACAGAACCAGUAUGCAUAAGGAUGGCCACAUACGUUUCUUUCCAUUGAUAUGGUCCAAGUAGUUUGCAGAAUCCUUUACUACACAUUCACAAACUGAACAGUAGUAUCCAGCCUGCAAAAGAACUUAUUUAAACAUAGAAUUCCAAAGUGAAUCAAAGGUAGUAUAUAACAGAUACAUAGACAUAGCUGUGAAUAGAUUCUUUAUUGCUAUUACAAAGGUUCAUAGAUGCAAUAAAUAAGGAGAACAGCCAUCUAGGGAUAAAACUCAGAAUCCAGUGGAUUAUGCCCACCAUUUGCUUUAGCUUUAGUCAUUUCAUAUAAAGCAUUUUGACAAAUGCUACAUUCUUAAACUAACUCCACUACAAGUCCCUUGAGUGUUUCUUGCAAAUACUGAUUACAAAUGGAUGACUUAUUCCAUUUCUUAGCCUAGAUUUUGAAGUGCCCAUUCAAAUUGCCCAAGAACUAUUUCCUGCAUUUUGCAAAUACCAGACCUGAAUGAAUGCUUAUUUCAAUUUCUCAUUAUUUUUAGGUUCUGAUAAUGCACAUCAAAUUUGGAGAAAACCUGAAAAUGAGAUGUCUACUAAAAAUAAAACAACAAAAUUUCAUACAUGAGAAUUGAGUUCAGUAUCCUGAAAACUAUUUUCUGAUUCUGAUGAAUAACCACCUAGUGUGUAAGUAUAAUUUAAAAGAAACUGAAGGGUUUGAUGACUGCCAUGGAAUCAUUAGAAUGGAACUGCUAGUGGCUCUCUUGAAUUCAUGUUGAUAACAAAUCUAGACAUGGUGUUAAGAGUCGGUAAUUGACAUGAGAACUCUAGUUGGCAAUACAUGGAGUCAUCAAUGCAGUGUCUGCUCAGGGCCAAGUUCUCCAGCAAGCAUUAUAAUCACAUUUUAUAUCAAUUGUCUUAGGUGAUAUCAAUACAACACCAGGCAACACAUUACUAUGGUUGGAUUAUUGAAACCUUGAAUUUAAGUCCAUACUUCAAAAAGAAAAAAGAAAAACCAGAAUCCAUCUGAAUGCAUGGGAUGGGCAAGCGUUCAAAUAGCGUAGCAUCUAGUUAACCACUUAAACAUCCAUGUACACCAACUGUAAUGCUUGAGGAUUAAAAAAAGUUCCCAAAACCUUAUGUCGUAAAAAAAAUAAAAACUGAAAAACUGCUAGAUUUGCAAGAGGGCAUCACACUUACCAAGCAAACUAUGAACCAUCCAAUCAAUACCUCAAAAACCAACUAGGCAAUGAGUCCACUAAUGCAUUAAAUGCGAAGUGUAUGAAUUACUUAUCAAAAACUACCACAGCACAUACCACAAAUAUACUAUAUAAUAAAAGAAAGACAACAAGAAAGCAUUUACAUAAUUUGUAUGAAUGUCGUGAAAAGAUACCUGCUGGCUGAGAGGUGCUAUUGGAGUAACAACCUGCCAUAAUAACAAAAGAAAAACCAAAGUCAUCAACUAGGUGUGUGAGUAGGGAACACUUGAAUAGUUUAAAAGUUAGAAGAAGAAAAAAAUGUGAACCCCAAGAUCUUCAAUAUAAAAUAUAUAUCAAGCUUUCAAUAUUUGAAGGAUACAAAAAAUAAAAUAAAAUAAUAAAGCAAGAAUGGUUUGAAAAUUUAAGUGCCUGGACACUGAUUAAAAAGGUAAAUAUAAAAUCAAUCAGAAUAUAUGGCAGAAUAAUUCCACGCUUUCCCUAAGCAACAAUAAAUUGAGUCAUGCAUUGUAAAACUAGAAAAUUGGUGAUUUUAUGAACCAGAUGAUGUCAAACACAGAACACAGAAAGGUCUACAGUCAAAGCUCCAAGAAAGAGGCUACUGAUCUUGGCAGAACGCAACAGCAGGCCAAAUUAUACAAAUAAAACACCACAAGGGACAGUCCUCACAUUCACAAAUGUAGGAUUGUAAUUAAAUAGAAUGUUAUCUUAAGUUCAAGUUUUGUGUAGGAUUCUUUUACUAUGAAAGGCAAUGUCAUCCCAUACCACUUUCUUUUGAGAGGGAAUCUAAACAUUUUAAACAUUGUUAUAUCAUGUCUUCUUUAGAGGUAGCCUAUCAAAAAAAAAAAAAAAAUCUACUAAAUCCUAGCAGGGAAUCAAGAGUCAUUCUUAUUAUCCCUUUUAAAGUAUUGCAAGUCAACCUAGAAGAGUCAUUCAUAGUGAAAAGAAUAAAGUUCUAUCUCCAACAAGUGGUCCACGAUAUCAAAGCAUAGCCAUUCCUAGGAAUCAAAUUUUGGCCUUGCAGGCACUACCAACAAGAUUUUUAGAAUAAAAGUUGGCAUAACCAAAUUGGUUCAGAAAAACCAAAUAAAGCCAUAAAUUAAUGCAUUGAGGUCCUUUUAUGUGUUGAAGGCACAUCCAGCUUGGUAAACAACAUAAACAUCAAGAGAUUCUCGUCCACCAGAAUAAAAUGAGUUUAUCUCUUAAAAGCAAUAUGCAGAUUGAUUGUGUCAUUUAGCAUUUACUGUGAUUAAUAUUAAAAACAUAUUGAGAAAUAUAUAAAACCAUACCGUAAUAACUUCUCAUGUCAUUGUAUUUUUUCAGUUAUUCAAACACAUAAGCUGGUAGUCUUGAACUAAUCAAUUUCAAGCUUCAAGGAUUCACUUAAGCAACAAACAAAUUACUCAUGUGCUAGCAAAUUAUAAUUUUCCCUAGGAGGUGGCCAUACACCUCAAGUUAUCCAUUCACCAAUAACUACAUGAAGAACAUAAGCCAUAUAUUCAACUUAAUUCAACAAUGCCUUAAGUCCAAUUCCAACUGCUAAUGAAAUGAAAAUGAGGGAACACAAAUGAAGAGAAGUGGCUAACCUGGGUUUUUCCCAAACGGGAUUCAAGGUCUACUUCAUAAUCUCUGUGCUUCAAGGGUUUCCUUUGCACCGGAGGACCUUUGGCUGCACAAAAUCUAAUAAUGUUAAUACCUCAACCCCAUCACUGGAUACUUUUCUAGGUUCAGUUCUUUUGCAUCACAUUCAAUUAGAUACAGUACACAAACUCAUUGAAAAGAACAAAAUAUAUAUAUAUAUAUAUAUACAUAUAUAUAUAUAUAUAACAGAAAUAUAUCAUAUCAAAUUGGUCAACUUACACUUGGAUUUAUGCCUCCCCCCCUCCUCCUCCUAAAUUAGAUCAUAAGUUAGCAAGUUAGUCUAUUCAAAUUCAAAAACAACAAACAAACAAAAGGGAGAAGAAAAUUUAGCAAAACAUGCCUCCUGUUCACGCUUCCUAGCUCGUUCUAAGUACUCUUCUUUAUCAAAUUUCCUCCUAAAAGUGUUAUCAACUCCAACAGCCUGCGAGCACAUACGAGAGAAAAACGAUGACAUCAUCCAUAAUAACAAUAUCUAAUUAGAAAUAUACCCUGUGUUUGGUUUCUGAGAACAUGUGACUGCAUAUCAGAAACAUGGACGCUGAAAAAGUUGCAUUAGCUAGCUAUUUAGUGCAGUGGAGAGCAAGUUUGUCCACUUCAGCUUCCAAAUAAUUGAAAAUAAAAAAUCGGAGAUUCAAUUUUGUAAUUCUGCUUGUUUCCCUCCCUCUUCUGAGCAACCAAACAAACCCCAGACUACGUUUGGUCUCCCAGAAAACCGAAGGGUGGAAAAAUCUCAACUAAACUGAUCCAAAUAGUUUUAUUAUGAUCAGAUUGAGCAUGAUCCGUUUCCUUGGUUUCAAACAUGGAAAAACCAGAAGACCCAAAACUUUACUUUCUUUACUUUUUCCUGCAUUUCCUCGGCAACCAAACAGGGAAUACAGACAAUGAUUAUGAAAGCUUGAGCUUACAUUAUUGGAUGAUUGAGCCAUAGCCACAAAAACCUAGACUCGGUGAGUCGAUAACUCACAAGUCAGCUGAGUUGAACUCACGACUGAAUUCAAUUCCCUGAAAAAUAAAUUUCACAGAUUUAAACAACGCCCAUACAAAUCCUCCUAAUUAUCAGCAAUAAAUGACCAAAUAAAUAAACCAAAAACAUACCGAGACCAAGGAGAAGACGAUAAUGAAGAAACCCUAAUUCUGGUUUGAGCCCAACGGUGAAGAAAAUUGUGGGAAAAGCCAAAAUAAACCAGGGUUAAUAAAAAAGAGAAUGGCGGAUUGGAAAAAAUAAAUAAAUGAAAUCAAAGUACAAAGAGGAAAUCUAGAAAGUGCCACGGGUGUUUGGUCUAGUGGUAUGAUUCUCGCUUCGGGUGCGAGAGGUCGCGAGUUCGAUUCUCGCAACACCCCCUUUCUCUUUCUUUUGUUGAAAGUUGAAACCUAGAAAAUGUUUUCAAAAAUAAAUCAUGCUAUUGCAUGCUUUUAUUCCUUGGCAUGCUUAUGCCAAGUCUAAUUUUUUGGAACUUUGGAAAAUGUUUUUCAAAAUCAAAUUAUAUUGGUGUUUUUUGUUUGUUAUGUCUAUUUUUAAUAUAAAAAAAAUGAAAUCAAAUUACUUAUAUAUAUAUAUAUAUAUAUAUAUAUAUAUAUAUAUAUAUAUUAAAAAAAAAUAAUCUUAUUUCUUUUCUUUUUUAAAAUAAGACUAAACUUGUUGCAUGUGCAAAACACGUGAAAUGUUAACUAAUGGGGUAUUUUUAUAUUUAAAUGUAAUUUAAAUUAUUUAAUUAAUUUUAAAAAAAUUAAUAUUCGUCUAUUUUAUAGUUGUAUUUGAAUAUAUUUUAUUUUAAAACAUUUAUAUUGAUUAAUUAAUUAUAUUUGUUAUGUCUAUUUUUAAAAUAAAAAAAUGGAAUCAAAUAUAUAUAUAUAUAAGUAUAUAUAUUAAAAACAAUUAAUCUUAUUUCUUUUAUUUUAUUUUAUAAUACUAGGCUUGUUGUACCUUGUACGUGCAAAACACGUAAAAUGUUAACUAAUAUAAUAUUUUUUAUAUUUAAAUGUAAUUUAAAUUAUUUAAUUAAUUUAAAAAAUAAUAAUAUUCGUCUAUUUUAUAGUUGUAUUUGAAUAUAUUUUAUUUUAUAACAUUUAUAUUGAUUGAUUGAUUAUAUUAAUAAGAUAAGAUAAAAUUAAAUUUUAACUAUUAUUUUUUAAAAAUAAUAUUUUAAAUUGUGGUUCAAUGAUGCACAAUCUAUAUUAAAAUUGAAAGUAAGUUUUAUAAUAAAUUAAUAAAAUCUUUAUUUAUUUUCUAUUGUUUUUUAAAAUAAAAUUUUAAUAUUGAAUAAAAAGUAAUUAAAUUAUUUUUAAAUUAAAUUAAUUAAUUAUAAUGAAUAAAUUAUAUUUAUUUUAAUUAUUUGAUAAACAAAUAUAUUUGAUUAUUUAUUGAAAGGAAUGGCAACCAUGUGAAUCUUUAAUGGAAAUAUGGGUAAAAGAAAGUCACAACAAAACUCUCAGCAUUCCGGCUUUUAUAUAUUGUAUAAUUAUUAGAAAUUAAAAGGAUUGAAGAUAAUUGCUCGUUCUAAUUCAAAUAGACGACCUCUUACAGGUUUUUAAAGAUGACAACAAGACGGGUCCAAUUGUCCUCAUCAUAACCCUGUCAUGUUUAUUAGUUUUUAGAGAUGGCAACAAGAUUGAUUUGAGAUCAAUUGCCUGAAUCCCAACUUCACCCCUUAUAUUCAAAAUUGUUAGCCCAAGGGUUCUCCUAAUCAGGUUUUGAUGAUAACAAACCAUGGUUAAAUUACUAAUUGGUUUGAAUGGUAAAGAAUUUCAUGUAUUAAUUUGAAAAUUCAUCAAAUGACUUAAUUGAUACAAAAUUAAGACGUUUGGAAGACCUUUAAUCAUAAAAAAAACAAAUGUAAGAUGAAUGCAUGAGUGCACUUAGGUUUUACAUAUCAUUUCAUGCAUAUUUGGAAAACUCGGUUUAUUAUUUAAAAUUAUAGUUUCAAUAAAACCUGAGUUUUAUCAAAUGUACCUUAGGCAAAACGUUUCAAAAUUGACAUACUAAUUUACCUAAAGAUUUUACCUAAAUGUUAGAAGAAAAAAUAAUAUAUAUAAAAAAAAAAAUAGGUUUUUGGGGCCAAAAUAUUGAACCGGUCGAGGCACUAAGCCAACCGACUCAACCGGCCAGGAUACUAGUUGACCCAUUCCCUUUGCCCGAUGGAGGUCAGGUCGAGGAGUGCAAAAACACUUUCUCUCUUCCAAUAGUCUUCCCUUCUUGGUCGAGGUAUCCUCCUUCCCGAUCGAUCUUUGGUCGAGGCCUGGUUGAAGCAACGGUAAUCUGCCAAAGCAUUAAAUGCUUCAACGGUUAGUGAACCGAUCGACCCCCAACUCGACCAAUUGAGACUGCUUUUUUUUUUCUUGGCCCCCAAUGUUAUAAACCUAUAAAUAGAGAGUUCCACUUUAUUUAUGAGAUAUAGAACACCUGUAUUUAUUUGUCUACCCAUUUGUUCUUACCUUAAAAGCUCUAAUUUAUUUAUUGGUGCAUUAAAUCUACACUUACAUAUCUUUUAGUGCACCUUUGUGAUUCAUCAUAACUUUGAUUUGUAUUUGAGCUAUCUUUGAGCUAGGUUGAGGGAUUCAUUCUUGUAAAAUUGAGUGUUAAAACCUUCAAGUAAGUUGAAUCUUGAAGAGAUUGUGUAAGAGCUCAUUGGAGCCGGAAUCCAAAUAUAAAGGAGAUUAGAAGCUUGGUUGAAGCUUCAAGUUAGUGGAACUCUCACUCGGUUACAAGCUUGAAGAGAGUGGAUGUAAGCAAGAAAGUGUCGAACCACUAUAAAAUAUGAGUUUAAUUUCUCUAACUUUAUCUCUUUAUAUUUGCUUUUAUUGUGCUUGAAUUUAUUGUGUUAAAAAAGAAUUUUAAAAACCCAAUUCAUCCCCCCCUCUUGAAUGUUUUUCUCAUUUAAGAUUAGCCUUUAUUUUCUCAAAAAUAAUUCACAUCCCCCUUAUUAAAAAAAUUAAAUGAGAUACGACGAAUAUACAAAUUUCUCAUAUCCACCCACUCCACCUGUUUAAUUUUUUUUUAAUUACAUUACAAUAAAUAUAUUUUAUAAAUAAUUAAAAUAUUAUAAUUUUUAUAAGUCAUUUUAUUAAAGAGAAAUUUUAUUAUUAUUAUUAUUAUUAUAUUCAAAAGAAAAAUAAAAAUUAAUUUUAUAUCUAAUUGGGAUAGGUAGGAAUCCAACAAACCAAUACCAAAACUCACCCUAAUCCUGCCCAUGUAUUUAAAAAAAAAAAAAAUCUAAAAUCCACACAUAACUCAUUUAUUUAAAUUUCAAACUCAUAAAAAACAAGGAAUAGGGCAAGACAUGUAUCCAAAAAUCCAUCUCAUUACCAUCCAUAGAAGUUUUUAUAUGAUCGAUCCCUUUCAUUUAUGUGCAUUUAAUUAGAUAUUAUAUACAAGUUGUAGCCAUUGAAUUAAAAAAAAAAAAUUAUAAACCAAUUAAAUAGGGUUUAGUUAGAAUUUUAAUUUUGAUGUAUUAAAUAACUAAAAUAAAAUAUUUUGUUUUUAAAUUCAAUUUCAAUAUAAAUCAUUUAAAAUAGAAUUUAAUUGAAUAUAAUUUCCACAAAUGAUUUUUUAAUUUUUUUAAUCUCAAAUUUUCAAUAAUAAAAUAUUUUUGAUUAAAAAUAUAUAAUAUUUAGUAAAAGAAUUCAAUAAUAAAAAUCUUUAUUUUAUAAAAAGAAUAAAUAAAAAAUAAAAACAUAUAAAAUUUUUAAACAUCUCUUUUUUAUUAAAAAUAUUCAAUUUUUUUUUUUGUGUUUUUAAAAAAUUUUAUUAUCAAAUAUAAUGAAACGUAUAUAUUUAAAUUCUAUUUCUAAUUUUCCUUUAUUUGUAGUAAAAAGUUCUUGUCCUGUUUUUUCAUAAUAUUUAACGGGAAUUAAUCCUUCUUGAAUACAAUUCAUAUCAGCUCCUGAGUCUAUUAAUGCUACUAUUUCCAUUUCAAAAUCUUCGACUAUAAGUUUUACAUUUGCAUACCAUAUUUGAAAAACUAUUUUUGAUAUUGUAUUUAUAAAUGAUUCUAUAGGAGUUUGUUUAUUAGGUAUUAUAAUUCCCGAAUCUUGAUUAUUAGAGGUUUCAACAAAAUCUAAUUUAUAUUGUAUUACAUUUCUAAUUUGUUCAUUUUCUUGUUUUAUUUGCUCAUUUUCUUGUUUUAUUUGUUCAUUUUCUUAUUUUAAUUGAUCUAUUUGCUUUUUUAUUUUUUGUAUUUCUUCUUUCAAGUCUUCAAUGGUUAUAGGCCUUUGAGUAUUUUUGAAUCUAUUAUAAAUUUCAUCCAUUGAAUAUUGUGUAGGUUUAAUUUGAAUCUUAUUUGAAUCUUCCGUAAGAAUUAAAUUUUUUAAAUUUUGUAAAUAGUCUCUUUGUGUUUCUUCAUCUUGAAUGUUGUCUACAACAUAAAAAAAUAUUUGCUUAUCUACUUUUGAAGAUAUUACAUUUAUUGUUUUAAUUAAUUUUGUUUUUUCUUUAUUUUCUGCUUUUGGUGUUUCAUUAAUUUCUCUUGGUUUUUCUAUCUUUGUUGUUGAUUUUGUUGCUAUUGAUGUUUCCUCCACCUCUCCCGGGGCAGAAGAAAACAAAAUUUGAUUAAAUUUUGUUUCACUUUACUUUUCUUUUGAAUUUUCAUUUAACUCUUGAUUAAAUUUUGUUUCAUUUGAUUCUUCUUUUGAUUUUUUACUUGACUCUUCUUGAUUUAUGAUUUGUUGAUCUAAUAAUUUUUUAUUAUGUAGAGAAUUUUCUAUUGCUUUUCUUGAGGUUAAUGUUUCAAUUCUUUUAAGGGGCUUCCUAAAUUUGAACAACCAAAGGAAAAAAGGAAUAGUGAUCCUAACUUGUUGCAUAUAUUUUUCAUAUUUUUUUCUUAAAACAUUUCUAAUUUGAGGAGGAAGUUGUUGAAAAUAAUUUAUUUCUGUAGUAUUUUCAGGAGAAAAAUAAUUUGAUUUAAUCAAUUCUACUUCAGGAACAAAAAGAUUUCUUUUAAUGUUUCUUUUUCUAAUGAUAUUUUUGUUUAAAGGAGGUUUAUCAUGAGAGAAAAUAUUUGACUCAGACUCUUAUUCGAAAAGAGGAAUUUUUGAAACAAAGUUUGACAUAUUUUUGAAUUGAUUUUCUAUUUGAUUCAAUUCUUCAUCUAAUUUUGAAUUAUUAAAUUUUAUGUGAUGACUAUAUAAUGAUGCAGGUAGUGAUGCAGUUGAUGAUGCAGGUGAUGAAUUUGUAAAUAUGAUUAUCUCAUAUGAAGAAUUUUCUGAAUUAUAUGUAGAAUUAUUUGAUGCAUAUGCAAAACUAUCAUGAGACCUAAGAGAUCUGGAAGAACUAGCUCUACUAAUUCCCUUUUAAUAUUCCUCAUCGUCAUAGAAAAUAAUCACAAUUUUAUCCUUAAUCAAUUUAGAUAAUUUCUUAAAUAGAGACCACCACAAGCGGAUCAACACGAGACUUACGCCCCUUCUGCCCUUCAAACACCGCUAUCUUAGGUUGGCCAAACUGUUCAUAGGAAAUUCAAUCCGAACUAAGUCAGGACUAAAUCAGUGAUUAAUUACUGUUCCAACUCGUAACACCACUCGAUUCUCAAGCAGAACGUGGCUCUGAUACCAUUUGCACCCAGGACAUACAACAGUUCAUGCACGUAAUAAUUAAUUAUGUCUAAUAAACUCCAAGUAUAAAAACAUAAAUAAUUACUAUCUAAUUAUGUCUAAUUUAUUGCAGAAAUUUAAUCAUAAAAACACAGAUAUUUGAAUAUGAAAUAUUGUUUAUUGAAAAUAUACCUUGAUUACAGAGAGUUAUUGAUACAAGCUUGUUGACAAUAGAGGGAUGACUCAAAUAUAUGAAUACAAAGGACUAUAACUUUAGAAAGAGGAAAUUACAAAGGCAAGAGAGAGAAUUUUAGAACACUCUUGAGUUCUUCAGCUCUCAAGUUCUCACUCUCCCAAGUUCUACCUAAUAAAGAGAGUUGGAGUUCUAUUUAUAGGCGAAAAAUUUCGGACUUCAGUCUGUCUUGAGUCUUCAUUCUUGAAAAUUUUUUGAAAUCCGUCACGUGUAGAGACAACUGGAACCUUGGUGAAUAAGGUCUGCAGAAGAAGGUAGGGAAAUUUUCUCAUGUUAGAUGGCUUUGGAAGAGAAUAUUUAUUCUAUUUCCUUUCCCUUUCUCCACGUUGUCUUCAAAACUAAAGUGGGAGACAAAACCCACUAUUCAUGACUUUUGACUUGAGAUUUUUUUUUUCUUGCAUUCUUCACAAUUCCUUAUUUAUAUACUUUUUUUUUUUACUGGAUAAAUACAAUGAGACAAUUGUACAAAUAUACAGUUGUACAAAAGAUUCUUGAAAUCUUUUAUCUGGAUUGACCCAUAAGUCCUCCGUAAAUUAUUAACUUAGGGUCUAAGUAUGAAUCAUCUGAUAAAACUGUGUCUUCAGUUUCUUCACUUUCUUGAUAAUCUCCAAACUGUUUGAGAGUUUGAAUGAGUCCUUAACGAUAUUGCUCUAAAUCAGUAGCGGCUGCUAAUGAAACUUGACAUUUGCUUUUAAGAGUAAGGAAUUCUUCUUGAGUUGGUCCUUGAGAAAAACUUGAUGAAUCUUUUGAAUUUGAAGAUCCAGGUUUUGUUGAAAUUAUUUGCAAAAUCUUCUGUUGACAUACAAAAUCAUGAUUGAAUUUGUCCCACCAUUUGAUGCUGAAUUCUCUAGAAAGAGAUGAUGGAAAAGGACGAGGUUGCUCUUGCUUAAUGAUAAUAUUCCAUGUGAGAAUCCAUGGAAUUCUUAAUCUCAAAUAGAACGUCAAGAGUCUCGACUGAGUGAUAGACUGAGAUUAAAUAUUACUCUUGUAGAAGUUUAAUUUUUCUUGAAUUUUAGGAGGAAAUAUGGAGUCUAGUAGACCAAAUAAAGUCCACCAUUUUUUAAACCAAGCAUAAAAUUUGGUAUUACAAUUUCUUGAGAAUUGGAUUAACCAAAAAUGUUGGUAGCUUUGCGAUAAAACAUAUUGUACUAAGCAUCCAUAUAAUCUACGUAAUUGUAGCUCAUGAGACGGAAAUGUUGACUAAACGCAUUGCAAGUGAAGGGUUUUUUAUUCCAACCAGCAAUGGUCAUGACUUUGAGAAUUUGACAUUUGGAAAAAGCAAUCCUCCGAGGAUUGUUUUUAUCAGUGUUAUGAGUAAUUUCAACUUAAUUUGUGCCCACCAGGAUGAACUCAUAAAAUUGAUGAGUUUUCAAAGGAUCAUUGGAAUUGAAGGUGACUCCUUGAGGAAAGAUGUAAGGAAGAAUUUUAGGAAUUUCUUUAUAAUUGUACUCUAGCUCAAUGAAAGCAAUUUCUAAGGUUUUGGGUUUUUUGACAUAUUGACUAAUGGAAAAAUAAUGAGAAGGAGAAAGUAAUAUUGAAAUAGUGCUAGGACUGGAUUGACUCUGAACAUGAAUAUUUUUAGAAGUUGAUUUAAAAGCUUUAAUAAAACUUUUUGAAGGUUGAAGAGGAUGAAAAUCUAGACUCAGAACUUCAAAGGAAUUUGAUAUUUGUAAUGGAAAAGUAGGACGAAUAUUUGAAAAUUUUGAAAUCAUUGCAUAUGAAGUUUUGAUUUUCUUGGAUGAUGAAGGAAGUUGAGGCCUAAUAGGAGUACCCAUUACGAUGGAGGAGGGUCCUUACCCUGCAAAAACUCUCGAGUAAGGAAGUCAGGAAGGAAAUUCAACUCUUUUUUGAUAAAUUUAAUUUCAAAAUCAAAAUUUGAAAGUAAAGUUUGUCAUCUUGCAAAAAUUUGUUUUGAAACUAAAUUUUUAACAUCUUUUUGUUAAAUAUCUUUUGCAACUUUCCAAUCAAUUUUCAAAAGAAAAUUUUUGUUUAUCAAAUCACUUUGAAAUUUCGAAAUACAUUAAACUAUGGAUAAAACUUCUUUUUUGACAAUUGAAUAAUUUAUUUGAGCUCCCAACCAGAUCCCUGAAUGAUAUCUAACUAUAUGCACUUGAUUGUUAUACUCUUGCUUUAAUAUGUCUCCAUAACCUAAAUUAGAUGCAUCUGAUUUUACAAUGAGCAAUGCAUUUGGAUGAGGAAUGCUAAUGCAUGGUAAACGUUUGACUCUUUGUUUAAUUUUUUUGACUAAAUUAGUAUGAUGUUCAAUCCAUAUAGGUGCAUUUUUUCUAAGUCUUUUGUAUAAAGGUUCACAAAUGUUUCUUAAAUCUUUGAAGUAAUCAGAGACAUAAUUUAAACAACCUAAAAAUCUUUGCAAUUGUUUUUUAACUUUUAUUUCAUCAGGAAAUUUGUCAGCAAAUUCUAUUAACCUUUUAAUCGGUUUGGUUUUCCUUGAAAAAUUUCAUGUCCUAAAAAUCUAAUUUUUGUUUGAAAUAAUUUCAUUUUUGGAGUAGAACAAGUCAUUUCAUUUGCUUUAAUGACAUUGAAAAACUUUUUAAAAUGAACAAAAUAUUUUUCUAAUGAAUCAUAAAAUACUAAAACAUCAUCCAUGUAUACAAUUAUGAACUGAAAAUGAGGAUUAAAAAUAUCAUUCAUAAUAUUUUGAAAUUCAAAAGGGACAUUUUUUUAGACCAAAAGACAUGACAUUCCAUUCAUAAUGACCAAAAGGGAUAGUAAAAGCAGUUUUGUAUCUAUCUUCUUCUUUGAUUUGAACCUACCAAAAUCCAGAUUUCAUAUCAAAUUUUGAAUAAAUUACAGAACUAUGAAGUCUUUUGGGUAAAUCUUGCUUAUUAGGAAUAAGGUAUCUUAUCUAUUGUAAUACUUUAUUUAAAGGUUUAUAAUUAAUGACUAAUCUACGUGCACCUCUUUCUAUCUCAGCAACAUUUUGAACAUAAAAAGCGGCACAACUCCAAAUGGAUUUUGAGGGUGUGAUUAAUUUCUUCUUUAAUAAUGAAUCAAUUUAUUGUUUACAAUAUUCUAAAAGAUUUUCAUUCAUUUGAAUAGGUCUAGCCUUAGUGGGAAUUUUAGACUCAUCAAAAUUUUGAAUGUAAGACAAACUUAUCUCAUGUUUCUUUAUGGACCAAAAAACAUUUGGAAGAUCAUAACAAAUUUCAUUUUGAAAAAGAUCUUGAAUCUCUUUUAUUUUAUUUUGAACUCCAUCUUCUAGAAGUUGUUCUUCUACCUUUUUAUAUUGAAUCUCUUUUUGAUAGAAAAUUUAUAUGAGCUUGUUUUAUUUGAAUUAAAUUUAUCUUUUUAUUUAUCGAAUCACUUUGGACUUGAUGCAUUUAUUUUUUAGUUAAUGGAUAUAUGAAAGGGAAAAAUAUGGUGUUUCCUAAUAUUGGAGUUUUGAUACCUUCAUAAUUUACUUGAAAAUGGUAGAGUAAGGUAAUAAAAAGAGUUCAUAAGAUUAAAGGUUCAGUCAUAUUUUGUACUAAUAUAAAUUGAGUUCUAAAAUAAUAAUUAUUUUGACAUAUAUGAACAUUUUGAAGUUUAAAUUCUAUUUAUAAUUUUCCUUUAUUUGCAGCAAAAAGUUAUUGUCCUGUUUUUUCAUAACAUUUAAUGGGAAUUAAUCCUUCUUGAAUAUAAUUCAUAUCAGCUCCCGAGUCUAUUAAUGCUAUUAUUUCCAUUUCAAAAUCUUCGAUUAUAAGUUUUACAUUUGCAUACCAUAUUUGAAAAACUAUUUUUGAUAUUGUAGUUAUAAAUGAUUCUAUAGGAGUUUGUUUAUUAGGUAUUAUUAUUCCCGGAUCUUGAUUAUCAGAGGUUUCAACAAAAUCUAAUUUAUAUUGUAUUACAUUUCUAAUUUGUUCAUUUUCUUGUUUUAUUUGUUCAUUUUCGUGUUUUAAUUGAUUUAUUUGCUUUUUUAUUUUUUGUAUUUCUUAUUUCAAGUCUUCAAUAGUUAUAUGCCUUUGAGUCUUUUUUGAAUCUAUUAUAAAUUUCAUCAAUUGAAUAUUGUGUAGAUUUAAUUUGAAUCUUAUUUGAAUCUUCCAUAAGAAUUAAAUUUUUUAAAUUUUGUAAAUAGACUCUCUGUGUUUCUUCAUCUUGAAUUUUGUCUACAACAUCAAAAAAUAUUUGUUUAUCUACUUUUGAAGAUAUUAUAUUUAUUGUUUUAAUUAAUUUUGUUUUUUCUUUAUUUUCUGCUUUUGGUGUUUCAUUAAUUUCUCUUGGUUUUUCUAUCUUUGUUGUUGAUUUUGUUGUUGUUGAUGUUUCCUCCACCUCUCUCGGGGCAUAAGAAAACAAAAUUUGAUUAAAUUUUGUUUCACUUUACUUUUCUUUUGAAUUUUCAUUUAACUUUUGAUUAAAUUUUGUUUCAUUUGAUUCUUCUUUUGAUUUUUUACUUGACUCUUCUUGAUUUAUGAUUUGUUGAUCUAAUAAUUUUUUAUUAUGUGGAGAAUUUUCUAUUGUUUUUCUUGAGGUUAACGUUGCAAUUCUUUUAAGGGGUUUCUCAAAUUUGAAAAACUAAAGGAAAAAAUGAAUAGUGAUCCUAACUUGUUGCAUAUAUUUUUCAUAUUGUUUUCUUAAAGCAUUUCUAACUUGGGGAGGAAGUUGUUGAAAAUAAUUUAUUUCUCAGUAUUUUCAGGAGAAAAAUAAUUUGAUUUAAUCAAUUCUACUUCAUGAACAAGAGGAUUUCUUUUAAUGUUUCUUUUUCUAAUGAUAUUUCUGUUUAAAGGAGGUUUAUCAUGAGAGAAAAUAUUUGACUCAAACUCUUAUUCGAAAAGAGGAAUUUUUGAAACAAAGUUUGACAUAUUUUUGAAUUGAUUUUCUAUUUGAUUCAAUUCUUCAUUUAAUUUUGAAUUAUUAAAUUUUAUGUGAUGACUAUAUAAUGAUGCAGGUGAUGAUGUAGGUGAUGAUUUGUAAAUUUGAUUAUCUCAUAUGAAAAACUUUCUGAAUUAUAUGUAGAAUUAUUUGAUGCAUAUGCAAAACUAUCAUGAGACCUAAGAAAUUUAGAAGAACUAGCUCUACUUAAUUCCCUUUUAAUAUUACUCAUCGUCAUAGAAAAUAAUCAUAAUUUUAUCCUUAAUCAAUUUAGAUAAUUUCCUAAACAGAGACCUCCACAAGCGGAUCAACACGGGACUUACGCUCUUUCUGUCCUUCAAACACCGCUAUCUUAGGCUGGCCAAGCUGUUCAUAGGAAAUUCAAUCCGAACUAAGUCAGGACUAAAUCAGUGAUUAAUUACUGUUCCAACUCGUAACACUACUCGGUUCUCAAGCAGAACAUGACUCUGAUACUAUUUGCACCUAGGACAUAUAAUAGUUCAUGCACGCAAUAAUUAAUUCUGUCUAAUGAACUUCAAGCAUAAAAACAGAAAUAAUUAUUGUCUAAUUCUGUUUAAUUUAUUGCAGAAAUUUAAUUAUAAAAACACAUAUAUUUGAAUAUGAAAAUAUUGUUUAUUGAAAAUAUACCUUGAUUACAGAAAAUUGUUGAUAUAAGCUUGUUGAUAACAGAGGGAUGACUUAAAGUGAUGAAUACAAAUGACUAGAUUUUUGAAAGAGAAAAUUACAAAAGUAAGAGAGAGGAUUUUUUGGAACACUCAUGAGUUCUUGAGCUCUUAGUUUUUUCUCAUUCUCCCAAGAGGCUCUAUUUAUGGGUGAGAAUUCGGACUUGAAACGAUGUUUUGAGUCUUCAAAAUUUUAUUCUCCUUGUCUUCUUGCUUUUCUUUUCCAUUACACUCCUUUUGAGUCAUGGUGAAAGACAAAAAACACUAUUCAUCAUAUUUUUUUUGCUUUUUUUUUUAACAUUCUUCACAAUUCAUUCUUCACAUACUUUUCACAAAUUUAAUAUAUCUAUAUCCUGUCGGGAUUUUAUUUCCAAUAUAAUAUUGAAUGAUAUUGGAAAUGAUAUCUUAUAAAUAUGUAUUUAUAAUUAAUAUUUUAAUUUUUUUAUUGAUAAAUUUCCGUAAAAGAUAAAAUAAUAUUAGUAAGACAGAUAUCAGAAUAAUAGCGUCCCUCCGUUUUAGAUUACCAAAAACGAUGUCGUUUUACCAGAAAAAUGUGUCUAUAAAUAAGUAAAAGAUCAGCGCCUUCACCAGCUUGCUUCUUUUUCCUUCCUUUUUCCUUUUUGUUGUUUUUUGACAUCAGAAAAUAUGUCGAUCUGGUGGGCUCUGCAAACCCUAGCUUUGCUCCUGGUCUUCACCGCAGUCUCCGCGGACGACGUCGUUGUGCUCACCGAAGCCAACUUCGAGCAGGAGAUCGGCAAAGAUCGCAGCGCUCUCGUCGAGUUCUACGCUCCCUGGUUCGAUUUCCAGUUUUUCUUUUUUCUGGAUGUGAUUUUUGGUUUUUGAGGUUGAUGUAGUGUUGUUGGAUGAGUUGAUGUGCAUUGAUUUGUUGGAAUGGAGUGAUGUUGACCGUGUUUGGUUGGAGAUCUGUUGCUUUUGAGCUCACAUUUUUGGUCAACUUUGAUCUGAUCAGGACUGUGAUUCUCGUCGACUGCGUGAAUGGCUUUGAGAUUUGCAAUAUUUGAUUUAUGUUUGGAAAUUAUUUGAAUUUUCAUGCUUAAUUUUGAGUUAAAUUCAGGCAUGUUAAUGAUUUUUUUUUUCUUUUUCUGUUUGAGUUAAGAACAUAUCAUUUUCUAUGUAAUUGAGCGAUGAUCUUUGAGAGCUGCUUUAGAUGCGCUUCAUUUUUGCUUAUAGCUCUCUUGUUCCCGUCAUUCAUAGAAAUGAUUGACACGAGAAAACCAAUAUAAAAACUUUUAGAAGUUGUGUGGUGAAGUGAUCAUAAAUUACAUCCACUUUGUUUUUUUUCAGUAUUAAGUCUAAAAAUGGGUGUUGUGGUGUCAGAAUUAGGUCUGGGACAUGUGGGGAUAACACUCUAGAGUGUGUGCCGUGCAGAAUGCAUAGUUGAAACAGUGGAUGAUUUCCUAUUGGUGAUAUACCAAAUUGAGUGAGGGCUUGGAGAUCGUUAAUGCAAUUACACGCUUUUACAACUUGAUUUUUUGGCUUCAUAUUUUUUCAGUGAGCUGUCAGGUGUGGGAUUUAGGUUCAUUUCAGUAAGCAAAGUUGAAAAAGAAAAAACAAAUUAUUAGAAAGGGGAAGUACUUUGGUUAGGUUUCUUAAGGCAGUAGUUCCAAAGACUUUAUUUAUUGGAAUAUAUUUUAUAAGUUCUAUAUUUUAAAAUUUAGGCCUUUGGGUCUUAAAAUAAUUUUACUUUGUACCCAAUGCUAUCUUCUGGCUGAAGUUCAAAUAUACAUUUUGGAUUCUCAAAGCACUUCUGCUUCCUUAUUUUAUUUUAUUUUUAAAAAAUUUCCUUUUUUCCCCCUGAUUUUCUCUCUCAUUGAGUUGGUACGCGAUGAAACCUAAAUUAUUGAUUUUGUUCCCUGGCAGGUGUGGGCAUUGUAAAAAGCUUGCCCCAGAGUAUGAGAAGCUUGGUGCAAGUUUCAAGAAGGCAAAGUCUGUUUUGAUUGGAAAGGUAAGAUCUUUAGGUCCUAGUAACCUGACCAUUUUUCAAUUGGUUGUUGCUGUAUAAAUUAUCAUCACAUCACUAGGAUCUCAUUUAAUCAUGUGUAGAUUUCUUUCGUUCCUUUACAAUGUUCAUAAAUAAUGUGGAAAAUCAAAUAACUACUCUGUAUUGGAAAAAAAAAGAAGGAAGAAGGGGACCUAUCAUCAAUAGAAAAGGGCACGGGCAAUGGAACUGAAUCCGCUCGACUACUUGUGCUCUGGUUGGUGUCAUGGGCGUGCUUGUCAUUAUAAUGAAUUCUGGUUCUUUUGCCCCGGAAUUCAUUUAUUGCAUAUUAGCCCUUCCUGAAUUCAUUUAUGGCAUUUCCCUUUUCUCUUUUUCUACAAUAGAAAAGGUGCAAAAUUGUAACUGCUUUAAUUUUGUUUUAAUAAAUAGAAAUUGACUGAAAUAUUCAACUCAUUGUGUUUCUUAUCAUUGUAAAUAUUUGUUCUUUUGCCUCUGAAUUCAUUUAUGGUUUUUCCCCUUUCUCCUUUUCUACAACAGAAAAAGUACAAAACUGUAACUGCUUUAGUUUUGUUUUAAUAAAUAGGAAUUAACCGGAAUAUUCAACUCUUGUUCUUUUACAAUUUUUUAUGUAGGUUGACUGUGAUGAACACAAGAGCGUUUGCAGUAAAUAUGGGGUUUCUGGAUACCCUACAAUUCAAUGGUUUCCUAAGGGGUCCUUGGAGCCCAAAAAGUGAGUUUAUGCAUUUACUUAUUGGUUUUUCUCCUUUCUAAUAAUGAAAACAUCUAUAAGAAUAUUGUUCAUACAUACACCUGCUGCCCCUCACUCUGCACUUGAUACACUUUUGUUGUUCCCAUCCCUGGAGCUCUUGUGGCAUCCACUUAGAUGACUCUUAAUUGAAUUACAUAUUUUUUUAGGUAUGAAGGAGCGCGUUCAGCAGAAGCUCUUGCUGAGUUUGUGAAUAAUGAAGGAGGUAUUUGUCUAUUUUGUAGAAUUAAUUGAUUUGGUGAUGCAUAAAAUUUCUGUCUGUCUUCUUGGAAUGAUGAUUUUAUUGCUGUUUUUUGGCUUUAUUGCACAACAUUUUUAAACAGAUCUGAUUGACUGUGUCUUAAUUUACUUCAAGAUCGAUCAGUCCAUUAUUUUCACAAUAACUUGCCCUUGACCAGCUUUUUGAAGUCAGAAUCCCUUGCUACUUCCUUUUACUAAGGCUCCUAUUGAUUUCUAAGGAAUUUUGGUUGUGCCUGACACGUGAUACAUGGAAUGACAUGGUUCCAACAUCCUUUACACCCCAGCCAUAUCCAAUACUUAAAGGCACUGAAACCAGCAACCGCACCCUACUUAGAGCCUAACAAAUCCAAAAAAUCUAACAUUGACAAGGAAUAAUCUCAUAUAAACACUCUAACCCAGUCCUAGAAGAGAUGCUAUAAGGAAUGUUUAAUUGCUUGAUCCCUAUUUUCACAAUUUUCAAAAGCUAUACUGUUUCUCUCCCUCCAAAUGGUCCAAAACAAACACAGUGGAGCAGCCAUCCAAGCCCUGUCUUGGAUCUGCCAUGUUUUGGAUGCAUUGGGAGUGCUACAGUUUUUUUAAUAACUUUUUUCCUUUCUUAGAAGGAUUCCUCUUAAUUAUGUUUAUUUUUUUCCUUCCUUUUCUGUUGUUAUUUUGUUCAUUUGUUUGUUUUAUUUUUAUUAUUUUGUUUCUCAAAUGAUUUGGUGGUCCAGCAGAGGACUGUUGUAUUCUGAUUGAUAUGCAAUUAUACAUUUAUUUUAUUUAUACAAUUUUGUUUUUCUCAAAUGCCUUGGUGGUUCAGUGGAGGCUGUUUUAUGUAGAGUAAUACUAUUGCAUAAUUUAUAUUAGUUAAAAUUAAAUCAAGGGUUUAGUAGUUUUUGCCAUUCAAUUUGGUCAUGACUUGAGAACCAGUUGUCAUUGGCUUCUGCACAAUUUCAUUCUGAUGCAGAGGAUAUAGGAUAACUUAGAAUCUAAUAAACCCAUCACCAUUUUGAUUUUUCUGCUGGAGUAAUUAUUUUAUAGCCUUCCUUAAGAUGUGUUAGAACCAAAACAUGGUAGAAUGUUUUUCAAUGCCUGUUAGGUUCUAGAAUGUUUUCUUAGUGAUCAUAUGUCCGCUUUACUAAACCUUUGCUUGGACCCCUAUUGAAGCUAUCUGGGGAAAAAGCUGGUAUGACCAACAUUUUGGAGAUGUUAAAAAGUCCAUAACAAGGGUUCUAUAAUAAAUAUUUCCCACGUGCUAUUUUUUGAAAGAGCUGUUUAUUUCUUCCCAAUUACUUUUUAUUAUAAAAUCUUUGAAGAUAGGAUAUUUAUAUGUUUGGACAUUAUGUUUCUUGCACCCUGUGGUUAACAUUGCAAAUUUGCAUAAAGAAAAUAAUAAACUUGUGUAACAUGUGCUGGGCAUCAUAGUUCAUUGCAGUCUAGAUUUUAUUCUCCAUAAAAUCUGCCAUCACAAGUACUGACUGUUACAUAAUAUUUAGUCAACAUAUUUUAUGCACUAAAUGCUGCUUUAUAUUCAGGGACUAAUGUGAAGAUAGCUGCAGUCCCAUCCAAUGUAGUGGUGCUAACAUCAGAUAGUUUUGAUGAGGUUGUCCUGAAUGAAAAGAAAGAUGUGCUGGUUGAGUUCUAUGCACCAUGGUGAGAGUUCUUCUUGGUUAUCUUUGCAUAAUGUUCUCUCUGCACUUUAAUAUUUUAUGAUUAUCUAAUUCAAUAAAAUUUUAUUUUGACACAAAAAUGAAAUGGUGAAAAAAGGAAUGAGUAUUGUAACUAACUUGAAGGUAGUACAAAGCUUUUUUUACUUUUUAGUUAGAUAUAGAUUGAAUUGCUAUUCUGCUUUCUACUAUACUAGGUUGAGUUAAUUCAUCUGUCGAAUUAUUUCCCUUAUUUUGCUUUGCACGUCUGAACUGUGCUUUUAUUUUGAUAGGUGUGGCCAUUGCAAGAGCCUUGCUCCUGUAAGUUUGUUAGUACUCUUCUGGAGAAACUUUUGCCUGACUUUUGUCUUGUACCCUGAUAAGUGAUAAUAAAGUGAUCUCUGAUUACUUUAUUCUGCCUGUUGUGUAGAUUUAUGAAAAGGUUGCAACAGCAUUUAAAUCAGAGGGGGAUGUAGUGAUUGCUAACCUUGAUGCUGACAAAUACAAGGAUCUGGCUGAAAAGUGAGUCUUUAACCCCCGGAAAUAUGGUUUGUGCAUGUCCUUUUGUUAUACUCGCAUUGGAUGACUGAGAGUUCAUAUCUGAUGAAACCACUCCUCAAUAUACCACAUGUGUCUGCAUUAUGGAAAAAUAUUAAUUUUUGGGAAGUUUUUUGAUUGAAUUAAAAAGCCUGUAAAUAUUCUGCUAAUGCAGGUAUGGUGUAAGCGGGUAUCCUACAUUAAAGUUCUUCCCAAAGGGCAACAAAGCUGGUGAGGACUAUGAUGGUGGCCGAGAUUUAGAGGACUUUGUAACUUUCAUCAAUGAUAAGUGUGGCACUAGUCGUGAUGGGAAAGGACAACUCACUUCCAAAGUUAGUAACACAUUUAUUCUGAAACUGACAUCAAUAUGAUAUAUUUUCAUUUCCUGUGGUUUUUAUAGUUUUUUUUUUUCCACAUAGGCUGGCACUGUUGCAAGUUUGGAUAGCUUGGUUAAGGAGUUUAUUAGUGCUAGCGAUGAUGAGAAGAAGGCAGUCUUCGCUCGGAUAGAGGAGGAAGUUGAAAAGCUUGAGGGUUCUGCUGCAAGGUUAUCAUUAGGGAUUUAUGGUUUCUAUUUUUGUCGCAUGAUGUUGCAUUAAAGUUACAUGAACUUCUGUUGAAGGCAAAGUUGGUGGUUUUCAUUUUACUAUUUCCUAUCAAAAACUUUGUGAAAUGCAGCAGGGAUUUUCAUUAUUCUUGAUUUUUUAAAAGAAAUUUGCCAACCUUUGUCUUUCCAGAUAUGGUAAGAUUUACGUGAAAGCUGCCAAGAGUAGUUUGCAGAAGGGGGCUGACUAUGCCAAGAAUGAAAUUCAGAGGCUUGAGCGCAUGCUUGAGAAGGUACAAUAUCUGUUUUUUUUCCCCAAUUUUAUAAUAUCUCAAACUGAUGCUCAGUAGUUUUAUUUUAAUUUAUUAUACUUUUUUUGUACUGGCAUUGAGAGCCUAUUAGUUUGUAGGAUUUAUGUCUAUAUGGAUUGGCUAGAAUUUUUACCAUCUAUGCCACCGUUAACCUGAUAAACCCUCUUCAUUCUUAUCUGCCACUGGCUAGGAAGAGCACUUGUAGGAUUAGCAAUAACUAUAAAUGGCAUUCUAAGUGUUACUCAUUGAGAUGCACCAGUGAACAGCUUUGCUGGAUGCCUGGAUAAGUUUCCUACUAUCUUUCAUACUCACAUAGAAUUGAAAAUUACGAUUUGAGUGGAACAUCUCUUGCUUAUGCUGUGGGAUAAGGAAAAUAGAUACUGGAAAGUUCAUGGAAAUGUCCCAUUAAAGUGAAGCCCAGUAGAUAUUUAUUUGUAAAGACUGUUAAAGUAAAGCAAAGCCCAGUAUGGUCCUAGGUGCACUUUAAUAAUUCCAUUUGUCAUCAUCAUUAUUAUCCGGUCGAUAUCAGUACUCAUCUGUAUAGCCUAUAGAUGAACCACCAUCUCAAGAGUUGAAUCCUGGACCUUCUUUUAGUGGGAGCCUGUCGAUAUCAGUACUCAUCUGCAUAGCCUAUAGAUGAACCACCAUCUCAAGAGUUGAAUCCUGGACCUCUCUUCUAGUGGGAGCCUGGAGAUACCAUUAAGUUAAAAAGGUUGUCAACCUGUCACCUUGUUUGAAACCACAAAAAUGAAGAAUUAAAAUUAAAUCAAAACUAAAAAUUCAUAACAAAAUUUCACAGUUUCAGAGAUAAUGUAGAAUAAGAAGCGUCGUGGUCAUUUAAUGAUGUCAUUCUUUUAUAACAUUUGAUGAAAAAUGGGUGAUUGAGAUUGGUUUCCUUGUUUUGAGGAGAAAAUUAAGGCCAUGUUUGGUUCUUGGAAAAUUUGAAAGAAAAUGUGAAAAGAAUAUAAAGAGGAAAAGUAAAGGGAAAGAAAAAAUGAAUGAAAAUAAAAAAUAGAUUUAAAGUCAAUAAAUAAUUUUUGUAAGCUACUUGAAACUCAUUUCAUUGAGUUUAACUCUUCUAUAUAAAGAUUAAAUAAUUUUAAAAUGUAUCUGUUUCUGACUAAUUUUAAUUAUAUAUAUAUUUUAUUUCCUAUGGUAAAACCAAAUAUGAGAAUCAUUUUACUUUGUUUUUUUUGGGUACUUUUUGGGAACUAAACGUAGCCUAAAGGAGUGAGUUUUCCCUGGUAGUGAUGAAGAGAAGUUAGAUGAUGUAUGGUGUUAGUAUAAUCAAUGGGGAGAUAACAGUAUUAUUAAUAAGGAAAAACAAGAAGAAAUGAGGGUAAGGGGAAGGCAGUGCACGGAGAUGACGAAAGGGAGGUCGUUUGCAGAUGCGGUGAAGGGUGGGUGGAACAAGGAGUCCAAGAUCAUACGAGUGGAGGUGGCUCGGGAGGAACUAAGUAGAAAUCUCAGUAGACUAGAACAUUGCUUGAUCGGAAGCUGGAGUCCCAACAUCACAACAGGGGUAACCUUGGAAACCUUGGGUGGGGAAAUGGCCAAAGCUUGGGGUUUGAAAGGCAAGAUGGGGAUGGCGAGUAUGGGAAAAGGACGUGUGCUGCUGGAAUUCGAAUUUGUGGAAGAAGCGAGACGGGUUAAUCUAUCAGGCAUCAGGGCUGUGAGAGGUGUUCAAAUGGGCUUGGAGUGCUGGGACCCAAACUCAGGCUGUUUGGAGGAAGGGGAGACAAGAAAGGAAGUGUGGGUGAGAAUAUUAGGGUUACCAAUGUCGUUAUGGGUUCCGUCGGUGCUGAAAAGGGUGGGAGAUGCGUGUGGAGGGUUUCUCGACGUCGACCCUCAGACGGAGAGCUUGGAGGAGUUGCAGUGGGCCAGGGUCUUGGUCAGAUCGGACGGCGAGACUUUCCCUGACACUCUAGAGCUAGGGUUUGAAGAGACGACAUACUCUGUAACCCUAUGGUGGGAGAGGAUGCCGUCGAUAAGGACGGAAGAGGGGAGAAAGCAAAGCCGGUGGAAUCCAUCAACGAGAGAGGUUGAAGGUGACGAAGCUUCACGCGCUGCUACGCGAGUGGAGCAGUUGGUGGGCGUGGAAACCGAGGCGCAGAGUCAGUCAGAUGAUGGGACUGACUGUCUGUCGCAGGACAUGGGCCCCUCUGUAAAGAGAGCCCAGACGCGAGUGGGCUCGCCGCAGGGGCCUGGCUCCAAAUCUGGGCCUACAGCUUCUGGGCUACUUCGGGCCUUUGGGCCCAAGUCACCUCCAGCUUCUGAUGCCCCAAAGGGGGAUCAGUCUGGGCCGAGGCUUCCUAAUAGGUUGGGGCGGGGUGCAGGCUAUGGUAUGGGCCAGGCUCAUAAGGGGAAAUCCAAUUUAGCCCAGACCCACCUUUCAGAUAAUGGGCCUCUUUUAAUAACCCCUCCUUCUUGCUCCAACGGUCACUUUAAAGCUGAUGACUUAGAGAAAGAGUUCACCAGAUGCAGAGAGGAAGAAAUGGGGAGAAGACAACAGCUGGACCCAAUCAACCCGAGCGCUGAAAGAAUGCUAGAAGAAGAAGCUGCGAGGUAUGUCUCAGAGAUAAAUAUGGGGGGUACCAGGGUUCAAGGGUCUUUCUCUUCUAAUCUUCUUUGUUUCGGUCGGACUCCGGAGAGGGAGUAUUACGACCAUUCUGGGGGGAGAAGAGAAGGAAUUCUGGUUGGAAGUGGGUCGCGAAGACCAAAUACAGAAGAUCAUUCAGGAAGAAGGGAGGGCUGUUGGGACAUGGUUGAAAUCAGCAGCGAUGACCCUACGGGUAGGAAUUUGGGGUGGACUACAGACCAAUGGGCUAGUCAAGAGGGCAGAAAGGAGGACCAGCUCAAUUGGGAGGAAAGUAGCCUGAUUAAGUUCAGCCACUUUUUGGGUUUCUCUACGGAAGGUCUAGAGAAGGAAAUUUUGAACUUCUUAGGAAAAAUCAGGAAAAGAAGGGAGAAAAUAAUAGACAAAGGACUACUGGAGACUACAAGAUUUGAAAGGGAGCUUAAGAGAUUGGAGUGCUCUGUUAAUUAUGAAGGGGACACUAGGAAGAAAGGCCCUCAACAGGGCAGAGGGAUCCAAAGUUCAGUUGUCCAAUGAAUGUAAGACUUCUGAGUUGGAAUGUGAGGGGCGUGAAUGACAGGUCCAAGAGGAAAGUUAUCAAGUCAGUUAUCAGAAGCCAAAAGGUGGACCUGUUCUGUAUUCAAGAAACAAAGAUGCAAGUUAUGUCUGAAGAGGUGGUGAGGAGUCUAGGGCCGGGGAGAUAUCUUGAUUGGAAGGCUUUAAAUGCUAUGGGGACAGCAGGGGGUGUCUUGAUUUGCUGGGACAAAAGAUCUCUGGAAUUGCUGGGGGUGGAAGAGGGCCAAUUCUCCAUUUCCUGUAGAUUCAGGAAUGUGGGAGAUGGAGUAAUCUGGGUGUUCACAGGGGUUUAUGGUCCUUGUUCCAGAAAGGAUAGGGAGUGUUUAUGGGAGGAGUUCGGGGCAAUUAGAGGACUGUGGGAGGACCCAUGGUGUCUAGGAGGUGAUUUUAAUUCAACUCUAUACCAAGCUGAAAGGAGUAGAAAUGGGAGGAUCACUUCAGCUAUGAGGAGGUUUGCCCAGGUCAUAGAUGAGUUAGGGCUUAUUGAUAUUCCCUUGCAAGGGGGAUCCUUCACUUGGAGUGGGGGGCUCAAUAACCAAUCGUGGGCCAGGUUGGAUAGAUUCCUGGUGUCCCCCAAUUGGAUAGAUCAGUACAGUAGGGCUAAUCAAAGAAGAUUACCUCGCCCAAUCUCGGAUCAUUUUCCGAUUUUGCUUGAGGGAGGUGGUCUAAGGAGAGGUCCUUACCCCUUCAAAUUUGAAAACAUGUGGCUCAAAGCUGAGGGGUUCAAAGAGCUGAUAGAGGGGUGGUGGCAAGGGAUAGUGGUUAGAGGAAGGCCGAGCUACAGGUUAGCAGCUAAGAUGAGGGGUCUGAAACACAAUUUAAAGAUCUGGAAUAAGGAGGUCUUUGGAAGGUUAGAGAAAAACAAAGCUGAAGCCCUUCAGCAAGUGGAGCGAUGGGACGUAGUGGAAGAAGAGAGGGCUCUAUCAGAGGAAGAGUUAGGCCACAAAAAAAUAGCUAAGGAGAAUUAUUCAAAAUGGGUGUCGAUGGAAGAAGUGCAUUGGAGACAGCUAUCAAGGGAAAUAUGGCUUAGGGAAGGGGAUAGGAACACGGGAUUCUUUCACCGUAUGGCUAAUGCCCACAGGAGAGUCAAUAAUCUGAUCAAAAUUAAGAUUAAUGGGGUGAGACUUACAGAAGAUCAAGAGGUGAGGGAUGGAAUAGUAAAUGCUUAUCAGCAUCUUCUUUCGGAAAACGCGGAUUGGAAGGCGGAUAUAGGGGGUCUUGUGCUGAAGCAGAUCAGCCUAUCAGAAGCGGAUGCUCUUGAGCUUCCUUUCACUGAAGCUGAGAUCUAUGCUGCAUUAAUGGGGAUGAAUGGGGACAAGGCCCCGGGUCCGGAUGGUUUCACUGUAGCAUUUUGGCAAAAUUGUUGGGAGAUUGUCAAGGAGGAUGUCUUGGAUAUGUUCAAAGAAUUCUAUGAUCAGAAUUCGUUCAUCAAGAGCCUAAAUCAUACUUUUCUGGUCUUGAUUCCGAAGAAAGGGGGGGCAGAGGACUUAGGGGACUACAGGCCAAUCAGUUUGCUUGGGGGUCUUUAUAAAUUAUUGGCUAAGGUGCUGGCCAAUAGGCUCAAAAAAAUCAUAGAUAAGGUGAUUUCCCCUGACCAGAACGCCUUCAUAAAAGGGAGACAGAUUCUUGACGGCUCCCUAAUAGCAAAUGAGGUAAUAGAUUCUUGGCAAAAAAGGGGAGAGAAAGGCCUAAUCUGUAAGUUGGACAUUGAGAAGGCGUUUGAUAAUAUCAAUUGGCAGUUUCUUUUAAAGGUUUUGCAUAAGAUGGGCUUCGGAUCAAAAUGGAUAGGAUGGAUGUGGAGCUGUAUUUCUACCAUCAAAUAUUCAAUGUUGGUGAAUGGGGUUCCAGCUGGUUUCUUCUCAAGUUCUAAAGGUCUUAGGCAAGGGGAUCCCCUUUCCCCCUACCUAUUUAUCAUGGGAAUGGAAGUCCUUAGUGUGUUAAUAUCGAGGGCCGUUGAAGGGGGGUUCAUUUAUGGCUGUAGGAUAUGGAAAGGAAGAGGGCAGCCCGUAAACAUAACUCAUCUCCUGUUUGCGGAUGAUACAAUUGUCUUUUGUGAGGCAAAGAAAGAGUCCCUGUUGUACUUGAGCUGGAUCCUAUUAUGGUUCGAGGCCGCCUCAGGUUUAAAAAUUAACUUGGAGAAAAGCAUGGUCAUUCCGGUAGGGGAGGUGGAAGGGGCGCUUGAUAUGGCUGCGGAAAUUGGGUGUAAGGUGGGACAGCUGCCCACUGUUUAUUUGGGGCUGCCCCUUGGGGCGCCUAAUAGGGCCUCCUCCGUUUGGGAUGGGGUGGAGGAGAAAAUGAGGAGGAAGCUUGCUCUUUGGAAGCGUCAUUUUUUGUCCAAAGGAGGGAGAAUUACUCUCAUUAAGAGCACGCUGGCCAGCAUUCCUUUGUAUCAAAUGUCACUUUUCCGCAUGCCUAAAUCAGUGGCAAGAAGACUAGAAAAGCUUCAAAGGAAUUUUUUGUGGGGAGGAGCCAAUGGAGGGAAUAAGGCUCAUCUAAAUCAAGUGGGAGGUUGUAUGUACGGAUAAAAAGAAGGGAGGGUUGGGGUUAAGAAAGUUAAUUUGGUUAAACAAAGCUCUCCUUGGCAAAUGGAUUUGGAGGUUUGCGCGGGCUAAGGAGGAGCUGUGGAAAAAAGUGCUUGAGGCUAAGUAUGGGAAAGAGGAAUUUGGGUGGAGAACAAAGAAGGCAAAUGGGGUGUUUGGGGUUGGUGUGUGGAAGGAAAUUCUGAAGGAGUCCACUUGGUGUUGGGAUAACAUGGUAUUCAAGGUGGGAAAAGGCAAUAAAGUAAGAUUUUGGAUUGAUCCUUGGUGUGGAAACAACGUGCUGUCCGAAGCUUUCCCGGACCUCUUCUCCAUGGCUGUCCAAAGAAGCGCCACUGUGGAGGAUUAUUGGGAUCAGAAUCUGAGUUCAAGGAGGGUGGAGCUUAAGACUAUUGAGGGACUUCAACGAUUGGGAAUUGGGGUUGGUGGACAAUAUGUUAGUUGAGUUGAGGAACUAUAGAGUAUCUAUGGAGGAAGAUUCGGUUUUUUGGAGGGGAGGAGCGGACGGGCUGUUUAAAGUUAAGGAAGCUUAUAGGGUGUUGGUUAAUGCUGAUGAAGCGGCCUUCCCCCAUAGCAAUGUUUGGGUGGCCAAAGUUCCAACAAAAAUUAUUUUCUUUGCUUGGGAAGCUACUUGGGGGAAGGUUCUUACAUUGGAUAGAUUGCAGAGAAGAGGAUGGCACCUUCCUAAUCGGUGCUUCUUGUGUGGAUGUGAAGAGGAAACUAUCAAUCAUAUUCUUAUUCAUUGUACGGUGGCAAAAGGUUUAUGGGAUAUUAUUCUUGCUUUGUGUGGUGUACAGUGGGUCUUUCCUAAUUCUGUAAAGGAGGUUCUUAGUAGUUAGAAAGGCUCUUUUGUGGGGAGAAAAAGAAAGAAAGUGUGGAAGUCCAUCCCGCUUUUCAUUUUUUGGACAAUUUGGAAGGAGAGGAAUAGGCUCGCCUUUAAAGGGGGUGUGUUAGCCUUUCAGAAAUUAAAGACUUCGUUUGUGUAUAAUUUUUGGGGUUGGGCUAAAGUGUACAUUGAUAUGGAGUCGAAUUCCCUUAUAGGUUUCUUGGAGUGGAUAGCUUCCAAGUAGGGGUGGGGUUCUUUUGUUUUUUGGUUAAGGGUUUGUAGCCUUGUAUACUCCCUGUAUGCUCUUUGGCUUUUGCCUUCGUUAAUAUAAUCGCUUACUUAUCAAAAAAAAAUCAAUGGGGAGAUAAUUUUUUCUGUUAUUGAUGGUUAUGAAAAAUGUUGUUAAUUCCACCACUUCCAAGGUAGUGCCCAGAUCCUAAUACCUGGGAACUAAAGCUGAUUAUUGUUUUGUGUUCAUUUUGAAUUUUACUUCAACCAUUUAUUUAUUUUGGGCUUUUAUUGGUGCAGUCGAUCAACCAAGCAAAGGCAGAUGAGUUCAUUCUCAAGAAGAACAUCCUAUCAACAUUUGCUUGAUUGAUCAUUAAUCAUUCGAGAGGAAACACAUUCAUCUUUGCUUGGAGGUAUCUGUAACACAUUUCCCAAGGACCGGUUGCCUAGUAUUUUUCAAGCUUGGGGAAAAUACACUUUCCCUGUGACUCCCUCUACACUUCUUCUACUGCACAUUUUUGGGCCUUUUAAUUUUAUAGUUGUAGAAGAGAAGGAAAGAGCACAUGUGCUAUAGUUAUCAAUGCAUGGAAACUAUUUUAAUUACCUUAACACUCGUCCACAGCAACGAUGCAUGAAAAUUGAGCUACUGAACAAGUUUUUAGUCUUUCUGAAUGAUCUGGUUCCAGCAUGAUAUGCAUGUGUUAUUAGAGUCAAGGUCUUUCCCUCGAUUAAAUAUAGCUCUAAUUUUACCCAACUCUUCUUUCUGUUUUUCCAUAGUGUCAUUUUGGUGAUGCCAAUUUGAUCAGCAGCAUGCUCAUAUGGGAAUGAAUCCAUGGCACCAAAUUGAAGUCUUCCCCUUGGUUUCCAAAUACAAUUAAUGUUGCUUAUGAUCUCACUUACAACCCGAAUUAAGUCACAUGUUUCUUUUGCUCACUUUGCUUCCUUUGGUCACACAUAUGGGUAAAUUUCACUUACUCCAUCGAGGUUCUCCAAGUCUUGAAUUUCGUAUUUCAUGAAAUAUCUCCCUUAUUUUGAAUCAACAGGGAGGUGAAUAAAAUAAACAAAUAAGGAGAGUUGAGGUAUUUGACAGAAUUUUAAAUUAAUACUGGUUAAGAUUAUUGAGCUUAAACCUGGAGAGGUAAGGUGAAAUCAUUCCCAUGUAUAUUUUUCCUUCAUUUGGAGGUGUGAGACCUGUACUCUCAAGUCGUAUGUGGCCUCUAGCUCACUCUUACCUUGUGCAGAGUUGUUCCUUCACAAGAUCACUAACUCAUUCAGGUUUGGGCCUAAAAUUACUGAUUGCACAAUUUUAUUUUGUGAAGCAUGUGUGACAUACAUGGCUCAUUUGGAGUCAGUAUCGACCCUAUUUUUUUUUAAGUUCAUAGAUGCAUUUUUGUGUUUUGUGCUCACAUGGAUUCAUGUCCGGUGGAUUCCCAUGUUUUUAUGAUUUAUUUUUAAUACAUGGAUUCGAUUUGACUUGGAUUAAGUUUUCAUAAUCUGAAUUCAAUUUGAUUUCCCUUAGCUAAGAUAAAGACCGACCUAAAUUUGAUUUUUUUACUUUUUUGUUAUUAUUUUGAAAUGUUGUGUCAUUUAUAAAUUUUAAUUUUAAUAUAAUUAUAUAGAAAGAAAUUUAAAAAACCAUUGCGAAAAGGCUUGACUUAAUCCAACCUUACCAAACUCAAUUUCGUCUCACAAUUAACUUGAGUCUAAACCAAGUUUAGAGAUAUAGGCUUAGGUCAAAUAUCUCUAUUAAAGGUUAGGUUUGAUCAAACAAUACCACAUGCAGUCCACGUAAAGACAAUAUAAGCUCUCAACAUAGAAAAAGGAAUAUAUAAGAAAAUACUUUCGAACUUGUAUUAUUGCAUACACAAUACAAGAAACCAUGGCUUACAUGUUUGGAAAUCCAAACCCAUGCUCUCUGCCACCUGCCUUGGCAGUUUCUUCAGGCUUGCAACUUUUCCUUACAUGUUGGUAAGUUUCCCAAUCACUUUGGCCUUGCUUUAGGUAGAGGUGUCCAAUGGCCCGGCACGAUAUUGACCGGGCCAUUACAGGCCAACGUGCCGGCCCAUGCAAGACUAAUAGGUGGGCCGACAUGACCCAUAAGUCCGCGAGCUAAUCGUGCCGUGCCGAUGGGCCACUCACUUUGUUAAAUAAAUUUCUUAUUAAAUAAAAUUUUCAAUAUUAAAUAAAAAAUUUUUUUGUUACUUUAAACAUCUCUAGUAAUUAUAUUUUUUAUUUUUUAUACAGCUCUAAUAAUUAUACUUUUUAUUUUUUACAUUUAUAUUUAUCGAGUUUGUAAUUGUAAAAUUUAUAGAAAUGUUAGUUUUUUGUUUUUAAAAAUAGUAAAAAAAUUAUAUUUGAAUUUGUUUAUUUUUUAUCAAAAUAAAAAUAAAUUUAAAAUAAUGGAAUAUAAAAUGAAAUGAAAUAUAAAAAAAAUAAUUAUUGUAUUCAAUAUUUCAACAAAUUACAUGAAAAAAUAAGGAGAAAAAAAAAAGGUGAGAAUUGCAUGAGUAUAGUUUGAGUACAUCCCAACUAGAUUGGCACCCGCCCAACUAUCAAUCAUAUGCAUUACUCAACCUUUAAAAAUUAGCUACAAUUAAUAGAUUUAAAAGAAACGAACAACAUAUAAUUUUUCAAUUAUCAUAUUCACUUUUGUCUUCUUAUUCAAUCUUCAUUAUUCUUUUUUCAUCUUCAAUCAUCAUCAAUCUCUUGAACAUCAUUGUCUGCAUUGAGAUGCAAAUCAUGCAAUUUCUUGAAGGCUUCUUUAAGUUUAUCCUCUAAAGUUUGAAGUCCCAUGCGUCCAUCUUCCCAAUCCUUCAAACAUGUCAAAGCUUUUAACAUUUUUGUUGUAAGAGUUGUCCUCAUGUCUCCUAUUAUAUUUGUAGCUAUAGAAAAAGAAGAUUUCGAUGCUAUAGUAGACACCGGUGGGGUUAGUAGAUCACAUGCCAUUUUAGAUAAUACAGGAAAAGUAGAUUCAUGAGAUUUCCACCACUUUAUAAUAUCAAAAUUUUGUACUUCAUUAAGGGAUAGGUAUGAACAAUAAUCAGCAUCUAAAUAUUUUAAAAGAUCACACUUACUUGAAUGACCAACUUGUCGCUUUCCCUUAGCUAAUUGUAUAAAGAAUGAAUCAUUUCCAAAUGUAGAUGGAGUUAUAGUACUUAAAGAGACAUUACCAUAUUUAUUCUCAUAAUAUUUAUAUAAGUUGUUUAAUUGUUCAUAUAUCUCACCCUCUGGUUCGGAUGGUUGGUUCAUACAAAUAGCUAUGAAAUUUAAAAUAUUUUCUAUACCUUCAACCUAAACCCUUGGAUCCAUACAAGCAGCUAAACAAUAAAGUGAUAGAAUAGUCUUCCAAUAUUUCAAAUAAUUUUUUUCCAUUUGUACACAUAUUUCACUAAAAAGGGGAUGUUUCCCUAUAUUUCACGAAACAAAUCACUUAUAUUGCAAAUACAUCUAAGUGUUAUACAAGAUGUAGGAGUAUAUACAGCAGAACACAUGUUAAUAGUAUCAUAAAAAAACCUUCAAGAAUUAAAAAAAAACAAAACCUUUCUCCCAAUCAUCAAAAGUUACUAUAAUUUCACAUGUCUUAUUAUUGACAUAAUUUGAUAGUAUGUUAUGAUACCCUACACAAGAUUCUAACAUUAGAUAGGUAAAAUUCCAACGAUGACCAAUAUCAUGACGAAAUUUUCUCUUCUUCAAACCUACUGAUUCACAUAAAGUAUAAAAUUCUUAUAAUUUGUUAGAUGAAUCAAGAAAUAGUAUAGUAGACCGGAUAGCCUGUAAUGAGGGUGAUAUUAAUUUUAAACCAUCUUGUACUAUUAAAUUAAUUAUAUGACAAAUACAUCUCAAUGAAAUAUUUCACUUAGUGGACCUUCUCUAAUUGUUCUUAUAGGUAAAUUUAUGAGACUUUUAUUAUUUGAAACAUUAUCAAAGGUAAUACUAAAAAUUUUGCUUUGUAUUCCAUAUUAUCUAAAAACACUUGUCCAAGAAUCAUAUAUGGAAGACCCAUCAUGAGGAUGAAAUAUUUUAGGAAAACCUAAUAUUUUCUUUUGUAAUUUCAUAUUUGAAUCUAUAUAAUGUGAUGUCACACAUGUAAAAGGUUUAUUACUUUGAUUAGUCCAUAGAUUUGAGGUCACGGAUACAAUACCAUUAUGAUUUUUAAAUUAUUUAAUUAUUAAUUGUUUUUCAUUUAGGUAACAUUUAAUUACAUCAUUACAAGAAGUAGUCCUAAGAAUUCUAUGAUAAACUGAUUGGACAUACUUUUGCAUGAAAUGUACAAAUCUAGGAUCUUCUCCAAAUGUCAAUGGAAACCCCAUACUAGCUAUCAUUCUGGCUAACCCUUCUCUUAAGAAUUGUUGAUUUUUUCUUCUUGCAUUUUAUCUAUUUAUUAUAGUGAAGUGAUUCUAUACUAUAGAUGUGUGUGUACUAUGAAGAGAAUUGAAAUAGCAUAAGAUCACAUGUUAACAUUUAAGCAUGCAUUUAAUGGCAAAAAAAGAACUGGUUACCUUGGUUUAUGCCAUGGAAAGUCAUUUCUUCCUCCUCUGAUAUCCAAUAAGCUACUCGAAGUGCGUGAUGGUACGAGAAUUAGGGAUCAAUGAGCUCUUCCCUUGUUUCCCCAAAAAUUCAGUCCAAGUGCAAGUGUGUGUGUGCAGUGAUCCCCAAGAGAAGAAAAGGAGAAUCUCUCCAAAUGCACAUACAUCUCAAUAUAUAUAUAUAUAUAUAUAUAUAUAUAUUACACAUUACACACUUUAUUUGGACCACUUGACUUAAUGAGUCAAUCAAUUGAAUUAGGUAUAUAUAUAUAUUACACAUUACACACUUUAUUUGGACCACUUGACUUAAUGAGUCAAUCAAGUGAAUUAGGGUGAGCUCAUAAAAAAUCAAGCAACAAUAUGUGUCCAGUCCCAUUAUGGACCACAAUGCAAAAAUUAAAUUAACACUGAUUUAUGAUAUUAUCAAAAUGAUUAUGUAAGUCCACACAUAAAAAUUCCAACAUACUAGCCCUAGGUCUUUUGCCUAUGGGAUUUGGUUGGGGAAAGUCUCUAGAAGAGAUGGGAGACUCGUCAUCUUCAAAAGGAUUAAAUUCAUUACAUGCAUCAAUAUCAAAGUCAAGGUUUUCUACAUCUAGGUGAUGAGGAUCCAUUUUUAAUUUUAGAGGAAAAAAACAAGGUAAAAGAAAGAAAACAAUUAAAUUAAAUAUAUAGAAUUAAAAUAAAUAAAUGAAAUAACUAAAUAUAAAUAUCUUAACCUUAUGAAUGAUGACCACUUAUAGAGUUGGUAGAUAUCUUUAGCCUUGUAGAGUUAGUAGAUAUCUUUACAAGAAAGAAUUUCAAUUUGGAGAAUUGUGAAAAGAGAAAGUAGAGAGAAUUGUGUGAGAAAUAAUUAAAAUGAAGGAUAUUUAUAGAGAAGUAUUGGUGAGUCAUUUACUAAUUUACCCCUAAAACUAACUGUUAUAUAAUUGUUGAUAGGGGUAUUAUAUAUAUUUGACAUAAAAAUAUUAAUAGUGAAUGAUUUACUUAUUUAUCAUUUAAACUAGCUGUUAUAUAGUUGUUGGAAGGGGCAAUAUAAAUAUUUGUCAUGAAAAAAAAUAAAAAUAGUUAUUGAUUUACUUUUUUAUCCCUCAAACUAGUCGUUAUAUAGUUGUUGAAAGGAAUAUUAUAGACAUUUGACAUAUAAUAAAAAGUAAAAAGUGAAAUUUAAAAGGGUAAAGUGGGCCGCCAGAUUGUUUUUUUAGGCCCAGCAUGACCCGCUCCUUUGGGUCAUGCCGCCCCAGCUUAUUACAGUGUUGGGCUGUGCCGGGCCACGAGCCAAAAUGGGUGGCCCGGCCCAAUGGACACCUUUACCCAUGAUUAAAGUUUUGUCUGAGCCUUGUAGUUAGAAAUUGUUUUGGACCUUUGAACGUUGUUUUCUACGAGAUAUUCCAAACAAGGGUUUAAAAUGUAGGUCCUUGUUAAAUGUUUUUUAAAUUAAUUUUAUGUAUUUUUGGAAUAAUAUAUAUAUAUAUAUAUAUAUGUUUCAUAAUCACAAAAUAGAAAAUAAUUUUUUAUCUUUAAAAAUAGAAAAUUGGAUAUUUUUAGAAAAUAUAUUUAAGUUGUUUUCAUUUAUUUAUUAUAAAUUAUUUUAAAAAAUAAUCAUAUAAAUCCAAGGAUUAAUUUAAAAUAAAAUACUACAUAUAAAAAUUAUUUUUAAAACAAAAACAAGUUAAAAAUAUUUUAGAUUUUUAAAUAGAUUUUUAUUCUAUAAAAGAUCAUAUAACAAUUUUCAAAAAUUAUUUUUAAAAAUUGUUACUAAACACGAAUAAGUAUGCUUUUAUAAAACAAUAAGCAGGUAAAGAUGGAAUAUAUUUUAGAAAUUUAGUGUACUUUUAUAAAGAAUUAAGUGUUGAAAGUUGCAUUUGAUAUUUGAAAAAAGAAAUUAAAAAAAAAAAAACUGUCUUUAAAAAUUAUUAUCAAAAACUCUAUUUUUGAGAACUAUUUUGCCCCAAAUGAAUUUGCAAAAUUAAAGAUUUUUAUAAAAAAAAAAAAAAGGAAAAAAAAAAAGACCAUCUAAAAUAUUUUCAAGGUUUGCAACGUGGGUUUGGGCCUUUGGCCAUAAAACAAAUAUGUCAAGCUGAAAAUUUGAGCAAAUAUAGCAUUGUUCAAUUACAAGAAUGCCCUUUAACGAGCUUUUAAGUUUUAGCUCGCACUGCUGUGCAACAACGGCAGGAAGCAAGAUGAUGACAGUGUGCCACCGCCGAGUGCAGCAACCUUUCAAACCCCGUUCAACCUCCCUCCUCCACUUCCACUCAAUCUCCGCUGUCCGUUCUGCCUCCACCGCAGUUGGCGCCGCCGUGGAUCCCUUCACCGACCACCCAUCGCAUCACCACCUCGCCGCCGUGGACUCUAAGUCCACCCUUCUCAAAUCCUACACCGUCACUCCCCCAAUCAAACCGUGGCCCCAACGCCUCUCCCCCAAACGGGUCGUUUCGAUGAUCAGCCGCCAGCAAAACCUCGACCUCGCCCUCCAAAUCUUCGACCACGCAGGAAAAUUCCACCGCAAUUUCGCCCACAAUUACGAAACCUACCUCGCCAUGAUCGAAAAGCUCUCCAAAGCUCGCGCCUUUGAGCCCAUGGAAACCCUAAUCUCCCAGUUACACAAAUCCCAAAUCAAAUGCGGCGAAAACCUAUUCAUCACCGUCAUUCGCAACUACGGCUUCGCGGGUCGACCCAAGCUCGCAAUCCGAACCUUCCUGCGGAUCCCAAGCUUCGGUCUCCAACCCUCGGUGAGGUCCUUCAACACUCUCUUGAACACCUUGGUUCAGAAUAAACGGUUCGAUUUAGUUCAUUUGAUGUUCAAGAACUGUAGAAAAAAGUUUGGUAUUGUUCCUAACGUGUUUACAUGCAACAUACUUGUGAAAGCCCUCUGCAAGAAGAAUGAUAUCGAUGCGGCAAUUAGGGUUUUAGAGGAAAUGCCUGCAAUGGGGUUUAUCCCAAAUGUGGUUACUUAUACUACAAUUUUAGGUGGGUAUGUUUCAAAAGGCGACAUGGUUGGUGCCAGGAGGGUUUUUGGGGAGAUUUUGGACAGAGGGUGGGUGCCUGAUCCCACAACCUAUACCAUUUUGAUGGAUGGGUAUUGUAAAAAAGGGAGGUUUAUGGAUGCUGUGAAGGUAAUGGACGAAAUGGAGGAGAAUAGGGUUGAACCAAAUGAUGUAACCUAUGGGGUUAUAAUUGAAGCGUAUUGUAAAGAGAAGAAGUCCGGGGAAGUCCUUAAUCUGCUUGAUGAUAUGCUUGAGAAGAAAUAUAUACCGAGUUCGGCUCUUUGUUGUAGGGUCAUUGAUAUGUUGUGUGAAGAGGGGAAGGUUGAGGUUGCUUGUGAGCUGUGGAAGAAGCUCUUGAAGAAGAAUUGCACUCCCGAUAAUGCGAUUACUAGCACGCUUAUACAUUGGCUCUGCAAGGAGGGUAAGGUUUGGGAGGCGAGAAAGCUAUUUGAUGAGUUUGAGAAGGGUUCGAUCCCAAGUACUUUGACGUAUAAUGCACUUAUUGCUGGAAUGUGCGAGGGAGGGGAGUUGCCAGAGGCGGCGAGGUUGUGGGACAACAUGGUGGAGAAGGGGUGUGUUCCUAAUGCUUUUACUUAUAACAUGUUGAUUAAGGGCUUUUGUAAAGUCGGUAAUGCAAGGGAGGGAAUUAGAGUUAUGGAGGAGAUGUUGGAUAACGGGUGUUUGCCGAAUAAGGCGACGUAUGCUAUUUUGCUAGAGGGGCUCUACGAAUUGGGAUUGGAAGGAGAAGUUACAAAUGUUCUUUCAAUGGCAAGCUCAAGAGGAGGAGUUGAUGCUGAAUGUUGGGGUGUUUUUCUCGCCAAGUUUGUUAAUGGUGGCAAUAUCGAUGUUGAGGGAGCUAAAAUUGAUAGAAUAUUAGUUGAGAGUGCUGCUUAGGGAUUCAUCUAUGGGUUUUAACAUAGAGUUAUGGAGGAGAUGUUGGAUAAUGGGUUUUUGUCGAAUAAGUCCAACAUAUUCCAUCUUUACUAGAAGGCCUCUGCGAAUCGGGACUGGAAGCAGAAGUCACAAAUGUUGUUUCAAUGGCAAGUUCAAGAGGAGGAGUUGGUCCUGAUUCUUGGGGUUGUUUUUCUAAGCAAGGUUGUUAGCAAUCUGGAUGUUGGAGGGAGCUAUAAUUGAUAAAAUAUUACUGGAGAGUGCUGGUUGGGGAUUCAUCUAUGGGAUUAUGUUAAGAGCCCAGAUCUUCCUAUAUACUUAUUUUCGGGAAUAGUAGACACAGGAUUGCCAAUAUCCUGUGAAUUGAUGUAAACCCUUUUAGUUUUCAGACUACUAAUAUUGAAAAUUGCCCAAACAGGAUCAGUUGUGAAGUUCUUUUUCUCUGUUGUCAUGGAGAACCAGUCAAGUACUUGUGGUUGGGGGAACAUGUGUGAACUGGGGCUGUGUUCCUUCCAAAACUCUCCUUGCUGUGAGUGGGCGAAUGCGGGAGCUUCAGGAUGAGCAUCACAUGAAGGCUUUUGGUUUACAGGUGAAUAUCCUUAAGAUGAUAAUUUGAAUAAUAUAUCAAGCUUCUUUGCUUCUCAAACUUGGUUUUGAUUCUGAUCAGAUAAACCUCUCAUAGUUCGAGUAGUUUCGAUGAAUUAGAGCUUAGCUUAUAAUUUGUUGAGUCCUUGCUUAAUUUGUUCAUGCACUCUGCUCUUGGGUUGUUACAUUUUGUUCGAAUUUGUAUGCAUCAACUUCAGUCAUGAGAUAUGAUGAUGUUUUGAAGAUUCUGAUGAUAGGUUGCUGCAGCUGGGUAUGAUAGGCAAGGAGUAGCUGAUCAUGCAAAUAAUCUUGCCUCAAAAAUCAGAAGUAACUUGACCAAUUCAUUGAAGGGUCUUGGAGUUGUUAUACUUGAAGGUGUUGGCACAAUUUUGGUACAUUCCAUAUGCUAUCUCUUGAGUUAGUUUAUUUUAAUUUUGUUUUUAAUUAUGCAUUCAUGAGAAUCUAGCCAUUCAGGUUAUUUUGAAGUUAAUAUAAUUUUAUGUUUGCACUGGUUAGAAUUAUGAUUUUACUAUUUAUGGAUUUAUUCAGGGUCCACAAAAGGUGAAAUAUGGAAAAGUUGGCUCCUCUGGCAAUGUAAUAACAGCAAAAGAUAUAAUAAUUGCUACUGGCUCUGUACCUUUCGUCCCUAAGGGAGUUGAAGUUGAUGGUAGGUGCUUAUCCAUUUUCAUCCAUCUAUGGUUGUGACCUUGAAAUUUAAGCUACAAGGUUGAUGUGUGUCAAUUGCAUGAAAGAUCUCUGAGAAAUAACUGUCUACCAAGUUCCUGAUGCUGUGUUUUAGUUAUGAUACCCUUAAUCUGAAAGGAAUUGGUGACUUUGGUGCUUAACUGCAUGAUCUGAUAGAAUAAAGGAGCAUUAGAAUCUCCAGAUGCUCAGUACUAUGAGUGUCUAUGGACAAUAUAAACUGGGGAGAAAAAAUUAGAUAUCCGCAAUGGUUUCUACUUCCUAGUUUCAUUAUGCUUCAAUCUUUUGGCUGAAAACCUUGAAAGUGCCUGUUAUCUUCAUUUUAUUCACUUUUGCAUGGAAAUCUGCUAUUCCCUCAGGAUUACUAAUUUUUUCAGGUAGUGGUCUGCAGGGAAAACUGUAAUAACCAGUGAUCAAGCACUUAAAUUGGAAUUUAUUCCUGAUUGGAUAGCCAUUGUUGGCAGUGGCUACAUUGGUCUUGAGUUUAGUGAUGUAUAUAUGGCACUUGGAAGUGAGGUAGGCACAAUAUUAUCAUAUUAAAGACACUUCAUUAGUAAUUUCAUUUUCAAACUGAAAGCUGUGGAAAAUCUUUAGUUCAUCUAUACUUAUACUCUUAAGUUUUAAGUAGAGUAUACACCUUUUGUUCUUCCUUUUUUGUUAUUCUCUUUCACUUUUUAUUACUUUGACCUCUUUCUACUGACAAUCUCAAAUCUUCUUGUUAUUUCACCACUCCUUCCUGUGUUCAUUUCUUAUAAAGCUUGUUCAUAUGGGAAUGGCGCUUAUGUUUUACCCUGAAAAUGUCAAGAAUAAUCUUUUGAGAAACAUUAGUCAUUGAGGAAAGUUACAAGUAGACCCUGUGCAUAAGGGAAAGAGGAAGAAAAACAAAGGAAAGAAAAUCAUGCCUAAUCCAUCUUCUUCCUUCCAAACCUUAGAACCACCCAAGGACAAGUGACUCCAUGCCUCUGUCUCCAAAGCCACUUCUGCAUCUGCUCUAAUUUCUUACUCAAAGUCCUAAACUCAAUAUGGAGAAGCCUUGUUCCAAUUAUGUGGAAUUGGCUGCAUGAGCCUUCUUCUUUCUGCAUUUUGCUCCAUAUAGGAUCAUAUUUCCUAGUAUUUCUUAGGCCACCAGUCUCUUGUCACUACCUAAUGCUAAGUCUGCAUUGAGCAGAGAUAAACAUUAUAUUUGGUUGAUUUCUGAUAUCAAUGCAUUGGGAUCAGUGUAGGAAUUAGUUUUUGAUUCAUUAAUAUGAAUGUACUAAGCUUAGAAGCCUGAAUUUAGGCAUACCAUUUUAUGUUGGUUCAUUGAGCCCCUCAUUUGACAUCAGCACACACAUAUGCAUGCUUUAACACAGACAGAUUUUAACAAGUUUUGUGUGGAAAAGGUAGGGAAGAAUGAUAUCUUGUAAUGUGUUUUUCUAUUUUCUUCCUAAAGUUUCUCAUGUCUGUUUGAUUUCUCUUUUCUCCUUUUCUACUACUGCAAACGUAUAAAUAUCUCCCACUCAACCAUCACAAAUUCCUCAAAAACUUUCUACUCCCUUUUUGGUGAGUUCUUAAUAUUGGAAAUGUAUUCUCGAAUUAUCAUCUCCACUAGUUUAUUUGGAGAGUGCUAUUUCACAAGGGAAGUAGUUUUUGUACAAAAUGUUCCAUAUAUGGCUGCAGGUGUAUUAGUAAUAUGGUGGUGAUCUGAAAUCCAACCACAGAAAUAAAAGCUUAGCAAAAAAAAAAAAAAUUGUCAGUUUUCCAGUUUGACAGAGAUAUCCACUUUUUGCAGCCUCAAGCAAGGGAAAAAGCUGAAAAGGAGGGAUUUGAAGUAAGUGUUGCCAAGACUAGUUUUAAGGCUAACACAAAGGCCCUAGCCGAAAAUGAAGGGGCGGGGCUUGCUAAGGUGUAUAUAUAACUCCUUUUAUUCCAGUUCUAUUCUCUGGUACAUGAUGGUUUCUUCUUUUUUUUUUUGUUACUGGAAUAGGUGGUAAGUAGUUUUCUCGCCUGUUAAAAACACAAAAGUGUUUUUAUACAGUUGAUAUACAGAGCGGAUAAUUGAGAGAUCCUUGGAAUUCAUAUUUUUGGACUACAUGCUGCAGGCCUUAUACAUGAGGAUCCGAUGCAAUAGCUCUAGGGACACGUAUACAGUUUUUUUUUUUUCUCCUUUUGCUCAUACAAUUUGCAAGACAGUAAUACCAAGUCCUUACAUUUAUGGCAUGAUUCAUUAUGUUUUGACUCGUACCAUUCAAAAUAUAAUGGUUGCUAUUUUCCUUCCAUUCGUCAUCUCUCACAAUCUGUGCACCCUGCAGGACAUAGAGUUUGCUGUUCAUGCACAUCCAACCUUGUCCGAGGUGCUUGACAAACUCUUCAAAUCUGCUAAGGUAAUCUCUUCUUUCCCUCUAUAGACCCCUCUGAUUGACCUGUUAAUUCAUUAUAAAGAUUUAAUAGAUUGGAAAGGGAGAAUAUGUUGUCAUACAUAGCUAGUUUCCUUGCCAGAAAUAUAGGACAGAUCAGGAGCCUAAAUUCAUAUAGCUGACCCAAAACUAGUUGGGAUCAAGGCUUGGUGGAUUGAUUGGUUUAUACUAAUAGAAGAGGUUUGAUCUUGAUUUUGAAAAACAGCAAACAGUAAGAUUCUCAAAAUCAUCUGGCCCCUAAAUUUUUAGUCUGCAAUAUCUAGUAACCCCACCAAAAUGAUCACGAGUUGUGUACAUGUACAAAUUGCAGGUAGGGAGGACAGGCUUCUUUGGUCCUGAAAUGAAAUCCUCUCCCAUUCUGCACUGGUACAUUAGACCACCUAUCCAAACCGAUAAUCAUCUAUCUUUUCAGGUUCUAUGUUUCACUUCCAAUUGGAAGCUGCAUAUCAACUUCUGUGUGCCUUGACCUCAUUCUUCAUUUCUUGUUUCUUUCCCUUAUCUGAUGCAGGUUAAAAUCAACAUCUCUAGUCCAGGUGUGGCACCUGUUACUGUCUAAGUUCUCAACAUAGUAUUACAUUUCGACAACACUCAUUCAAUCAGAGACUCCAAGAAGCUGCCUGUCUUCUUAAGAGGAUCCAUCCACAAAGAAUUAUUACAUCUUGGUUCCAAGUGCUACAAAUUUUCUGAUAAUUGUUUCCUCAUUUUUCGGUUAUUUUCUCUGAUAGAAUUACACUCUAAUGUUAGAGCUCAGGCUGCAGUUCUGUUUGUUCCCUUUUUAUUUUUUCAGAGGACUACUGUUGAGGUUUUGUCAUGGAGAUACAUAGAUACACCCCCCAACGACAAUAGAUGGUAGACAUGAGUUUUUACUCAACUGAAAUCUUUUGGCAACCUUCCUUUUCAGACCAAAGGAGAAAGAAACCCAAAAUGGUGGCCAAUUUUUCCCCUUUUUUCUUUUUAUUCUUAAGCUAUGGGAUUGUAUUUUGUGAGGUUUUAUCAAUAAGAAUUUUAAUUAAAUAAAAAUCUUCUUUUCUUACUGUGUUCGAGGAAAAACAUUAGUCUCCUUUUUUUUCUGAACCCCAAUAAAUCACAUUGAGAGAUGUGGAACCCAUGAUU